UCAUCAUGGAUCCUCAAACCAACAAUCGCUUCUGGAAAACAAUGGGUUCUGUUAUCUCCACUAAAAUCAAUUGGUGGGUAAUCUGAUAACUGCGAAAUCACGUCUCCAUACUUAGUAAUCCACCAAUCAUGGUACUCAAGAAUAACAAACACAACCCUCUUGUUCAGAUGCUGGGAAGUUAUAUACAAAGGAAGAAUCCCAUCAUUGAAUUCAUGGUAUAUGUUACCUGUAUAGCCUCCGGUGGAGAAGAACACAGCUGGAACAUCAUGGUGGACAUCACAGUGAUGGUGAGUGCCGUAACCCUCUUUUUUCGAGAUAAGGUGUAAUUCAUCAAUGGUGUCCAUGACACUGGCUUCCCAUUUUCGGGUAUAAGGUUUGAUCUUUUCGUGUUGGAGUUGCUCUUCUUCAAACUCCUUGCCUUCUCCAGAUAUGCUUGAAACAUGAUCAGUAAAGGCGUUGGGGUUUCUUGAACCAUACAGGAAGAUUGAUGAUGAAGAAGAGUGCGUUCUUACAUCCCCUUUCAUGAAACAUGUAUCUGUACGAAAGGCGCUUCUAUCACAGCAAAUAGUUCCUGCAUUUACACAAAAAAAAAAACCCUUAAAAUCUACAAAAUUUCAAAAAUCAAAUGGAACCCCAUUUUCCAACUGCUUAUAUCAUCUAAUAAAAAAUUCAUUCCACGAAGAAUGCACUGUUUGGAUGCAGAGGAUACAGAGGAAUUUGAGCUGAUUAUUCAUCUUUGGCGAAAAAAUCAAUAUGAAGCAAAAAAAUAGAAAAUCUUCGUCUUUCCCCUCUUUUCAUGAACAAAACUGAGGGGAAAAGGCAAUCAACAGUCAAACGACAAUCUCUUUCCGUGGGUCCAGCUAUUACGUUGAAGGAAAAAAAAGUUCAAAUAAACCACCCAAGAAAGCAAAAUAAGAGACUAACCAUUUGCGAUUGAAGAACAAAGGGUUUUCGCAUCCAUUUCAGCAACAGGGCCAUCAUAUUCUCCAAAUGAAUCUGCAAAACCCAGAACAUAAACCUCGAGAUAAGACAAAAAAAGCAAACAAAAAACAGAGAAAACAGCGGAAACCCGUGAAAAAAAAAAAAAAAAAAGAAAGAAAGAAAGGCUCACAUAUGGGAAAGCUGAAAAGGCAAGGGGCCAGGACAAAGCAGCAAGAGAGCAGAGACAGAAAAAGUAAGGCAAGAAGCUUGGGCCUUGUUCUCUUGUAAUAACCAGCGCUUCCACACUCAUCAACAAGGCUCUGUGCCUCUUCAUCAUCUUCGCCUUUCCUCAACUGAUGAUACCGCUGAUGGUGCACCAUUUCUCCUGUUGAAACACAGAAAAAAGCAAAGCUUUUGUUGUGGGUUAUGGAGUCUGAACCCAACACAGACAAAGAAACAGAGAAAAAGAGAGAGAUUUAUAUACAGAAAGGGAGAGCUGGUGAUGGGUGGUUCUGGGUUCGUUCCUGUUGGUAUGAACUAUGAAGCAUAAACUUGAAAUGGGUGUACAGAGGGAGAGAGCUGGAAAGAGAAGGUGUCAACGAAAGAAGGCUGGUUCAGGGGAGGGGGCUUUCAAGGUGAUAUUCCUGAUUCCAGUCAAAUACGUGUGCUGGUGCCCAAGCCCAUCAAAAUACACUUGGCCGUUUUAGUGGUUUUCCUUAUUGGCUACGGACCCUUGUAUUUUCAUCUCACGCGCCCCAUUACUGCCUUAAAUCCCUUCUUGGAAAGUCUUCAUUAUUGGAUGUUUUUUCAAAUAAGACUUUAAUAUGAUAAAAUAAAAUGAGGCUAAAUAAUUUUUAUGAAGAUAAUUGUGAAAGGUCCGAUGCUUAUGAGUUGUCAUACUGGGGUAAUAAUAUUUUCAAAAAUUAGUUUUUUAAAAUGAUUUUUAAAACCGUUUCUUAAAUAUUUUAAAAUUUUUGAAAAUUUAAAUAUAGAAAAUAAUUUUAUAAACUUAUUCAAGAUGAUACUAUGCACAUGUAUGAUAUAAAUUUUUUCUAUUAGUAUAUAGAUUUUUAAUGAUAUACCUAACGCGCUAAGUAGUUGCAAUAAUUAUAUGUAAAAAUACGGGGCGUAUAAAGAGACCUCACGCUUCCUUGGGGCGCGUGGAGAUGAAUGACGGCGACUGUGCUUUGAAUGAGCCAAUCUUCCGCAGCAAACAUCCUCCAAACGCUGGUGGGUUUUAAUUUUAAUAUUCAUGGUGGGAAGCUACAAUCUCAAUGCCAUUAAAUAUUGAAAAAAAAAUCUAAAUUGGACCGCAAAAGCAGAAUUUAGUUAUCCUGUAAGCAACAUUAAGGCAUCUUUAUAAGUUGUACAAGCAUAAAAAAGUUUAUAUUUUUAAUAAAUGAUUUGAAAAUUCUUAAAUUUUUCGAUAAUUAUUUAAUUUUUUAAGGUAUUUUAUGUAUUGAAAAAUGUCCAAAGGUAUUUUUUUAUAUUUAAAAAUAUAUAUAAUUUGAAUAAUAGAUUCUAGACAAACUCUUAUAUUGCUGUUUUUUUAGAAAUAAUUUCAAAAUUUUAUUUUUUUUUCAAUGUCUCUUAUGGGUUGAAAAUUUCAUAAAAGGAAAAGGAAGUAAAAGACCUAUUGAUACAUUGGAAACAUAAAUUUCUUGGAGUAAAGCUUUUAAGUUUGAAAAUUUAUUAAAGGUGGUAAAUAAAUAUUGGUGGUUGGGUAAUAGGGAAGAGCCGAAGAGAGCAUCAAGAUUCAAAAAGCGCAAACAACUAACCGCUAAUUGAGGCAGAGGCAUUUAGGAAUCAAGUCUGCGUUGGCGGCAAAAAUGGAUACAAAGAUCAGGAUAUUUGCAUUUGUGCCCCUUACAUUUUGAUAGUUUUUCUGUUUGUUCCAUUUUAUUUUCAUAAUUUAUUCAAAGAAGAUGCCAUUUUACCUUCUUUUUUUUCUUUUAAUAUUUAAUAUUAUGAAAAACAGAAGAAUGUGGCCAUAUAAAAAACAAAAAGUUGUUCUUUUAACACAAACUUAAAUAUAAAAAAUAAUUUCAAAAUCCUCAACUUUUUUUUUUUUUUGGUAAUGAAUGGGAUGAUAUGGAAUUGUGGGGAAGAGGUGUGGGUUGAGUGAAAGCAAGGUGCAAUUAGUUGACAAUUGGACCGUUGGAUAAAGGGUCCUUAUUUUGGCUUGUCCAGUCCAGCUGACUUCUGCUGGACUACAGCAGGUCUGUCACGUGAGCGGUGAGCCGAAUAGGCUAAUACCAGUAUACAUCCUGGUAAAAAGAAUUUAUAUAUAUAUAUAUUUAUAAAUAAAAAACCUUGGUAUGGUAUUUUAUGAUAAUAAGUGAAUAAAACUCCUUUUCAUAAUUAAGUUUAAAUGGAAUUUUGUUCCCAAAGAUAACAUAGAACUAACCAUUAUCAAAUAAGUUUUAAUAUUUUCAUUGUUUAACCACUAAAGAUUUUUGGGAAGGUUUUUGACAAUUUUAAGGGUUACUUAUAAAAUUUUGACAAGAAAAAAAAACAAUUAAAACUUAUAAUAUAUUAUAGAUCCCAAAAUUUGUCCCAAUUUUUUUUGUUAUUUUAUUUAUUAUUUAUUUAUUUUUACUUUUGUUUAUUUUACUUAUUUUAGGACUUUUUGGUUAAUAUUUAUUAAGCCUUUUCAGUUUUAUUGGAGAAUUAAUCGUGGUCCUUCCUUUUUCCAUCAAUUCCCAAUCACCCAUUUCAAACAAAACCCUAAUCCUCUCUUUUCUCUCUCCAUCUCAACCAUAGCCCACUCACCCACGUUUUCCCCAAUCUUCUCUUCUUCCACUUUCUUUCUUUUUGUCCAUAUUUUCUUUUUCCUUUAUUUCCUUUUCUUUCUUCUUCAUCUCGUCACGUGGCCGUCUCUCACCAUCGAUGACGCUACUACCGGUGACCCACUGCCAGCAACCCAUUAUCAGCGACACCACUACCGACGACGCUACUAUCGGCCGACAGCCAUCUCCAACACCGAUAGUCCUCUCCAUCACAUCCUCUCUCUUCUUUCCUACCCAACAUCACUCACCAUCUCUGUCAUCCUAAACCUCCCAAUCAUUGCCCUAACAGUCAUGGUUGUGCUGCUCGGUCGCCUUAGAAAAUUAUACGACAACAACCUUCCCUACCCCACAUCUACACCAAAGUCAAGUUGAACCCUUCUCGGGUUUAUUCACCUUCUUCCCUACCCAACAUCACUCACCAUCUCUGUCAUCCUAAACCUCCCAAUUGUUGCCCUAACAGUCAUGGUUGUGCUGCUCGGUCGCCUUAGAAAAUUAUACGACAACAACCUUCCCCACCCCACAUCUGCACCAAAGUCAAGUUGAACCCUUCUCGGGUUUAUUCACCUUCUUCCCUACCCAACAUCAUUCACCAUCUCUGUCAUCCUAAACCUCCUAAUUGUUGCCCUAACAGUCAUGGUUGUGCUGCUCGGUCGCCUUAGAAAAUUAUACGACAACAACCUUCCCCACCCCGCAUCUACACCAAAGUCAAGUUGAACCCUUCUCGGGUUUAUUCACCUUCUUCCCUACCCAACAUCACUCACCAUCUCUGUCAUCCUAAACCUCCCAAUUGUUGCCCUAACAGUCAUGGUUGUGCUGCUCGGUCGCCUUAGAAAAUUAUACGACAACAACCUUCCCCACCCCCACAUCUACACCAAAGUCAAGUUGAACCAUUCUCGGGUUUAUUCACCUUCUUCCCUACCCAACAUCACUCACCAUCUCUGUCAUCCUAAACCUCCCCAAUCGUUGCCCUAACAGUCAUGGUUGUGCUGCUCAGUCGCCUUAGAAAAUUAUACGACAACAACCUUCCCGUUCCCACAUCUACACCAAAGUUAAGUUGAACCCUUCUCGGGUUGAUUCGCCUAGAAAUGUGAGUUUUCUCUUCAUUGAUUCGUACAGUAACGAUUUGGAUUUGGAUUUGGGUUAUUGGAUUUCCCAUAUGGCCUUUGAUUUAUUCAUUUAGACUUAUUUUGGGUUGAUUUCUAUUUUCUAUUUAUUGGUGUUGCGCCUUGGCUUGUUGGAUUGCUAUUUGGUUUGAGUUGGGUCAUUAUAUUAGUUGGAUUUGGGCUGGUAUAUUUAUUAAAUCUUGUAUUAGGUCUUUCUUUUUGUUGUUGCUGAGAACGGGAAAAGAGGUGUGGUGUUGAUUGGGAGGAGGAGGACGACUCUUGAGACUUUUUGUAAUCUUCUUUGCGUUUCCUAUGAUAUUUGUGAGAGGGUUGAGGGUUUUUUUUUUAUAGUAUUUUUUAGCUUCAUUUUGAAAGUUUUUGGAGGGUCAUUACUUUUAUUGGACUGCACUUUUAAGGUUACUCCUACGUCCUUGUCCUUCAAGUUUUAUUGUAUACAUUCAUUUCAUUUCAGUUUUCUUCUUAUGUACAUGUGAAUGUAUCAUUCGUGUUUAGAUUUUUUAUUGUAUAUGUAUAUUUAAUUUGUGAUUCAUGGAUUAAUUUUUGUUUCCAUUUAUUUGUUAUCCUUAUUUAAUAUGCUCUAUUAGCUUUUGUUUUGAGUUAUUUGUGUUUUAUUUUUCUGUUAAGGGAAUAAUCCAAUAAUGGGAUAAUGUUUUUGUUUGAAAAAUAUUUUUUUUUCUUCUUACCUUUAAUGAAUGAAAAUUCUUUUUAGAAUAAAUAUUUAGUCCUUUUUAAUAAACGUUUUAAAAGAUUUUUUUGUAUUAAUAAGUAUAAAAACCAUUUUCAGAAACCUUUUUUUUUAAAAAAAAAUAUAUUAAAUUAAAAUAAAACUCUGAAAAUUUUGAAAAACGGUUUUUCUUUUAUAUAUAUAUAUAAGAAAAAAAAGAAACAUUUUUUAGAAUAAAAUAAAAAGGAAAAGAAUAUAGAUUUUUAUUUAAUAAAAUUGAAUUUUCCUUUUAAAUAUAUUGAGAUUUAAAAAAAAUAUAUUUUUUAAAUAAAUCUUUUAUAUAUAUAUAUAUAUAUAUAUAUAUAUAUUAUUUUAAUAAAUUUGAACUUUUUUUUCUCUCUUUUUAUUUUUUUGUAUAAUUAAUUUAAAAUAAUUUUUUAGAAUAAAAUGCAGAUAACUUUUUUAAAAAAUAAAAAUAAAUAAAUUGUAAAGCUUUUCUAAAUAAAUUUGAGAGAUUUUUUAAUUAUUUUCUAAUUCAAGUAGAGAUUCGUUUUUGUCAAUAAUUUUUUUUUUUGUAAAUAUUUAAAAAAAACUAUUAAAAUUUGUUUUGAAUGGAAUUAUUUUGUAGAUAAAAUUGUGAAAAAGGUCUUUAUUUUGAAAUAAAAGAUAAAUUAGAUUUUAUUUUUAGAUAAACUUAUAAAAAUAUAUAUAUUUAUUUUUCUUUUCUUAAUAAAAGUUAAACAAAUUCCCUUAUCUAAACUAAAAUUUUGAAAAAUCAUAUCUUUUAAAUCAAAUUUGUAAAAGACUUUUAUUAUUAUUAUUACUAUUCAUAAAUAAAAUUGUAAAUGGAUUUUUUUUAAAUAAAAUUGAAUUAACAUUUUUUUUAUAGUAAAAAUCAAGUAAAAUUCUUUCCUUUCAAAUAAAACAGUGAAAAUGAAAAAUUAUUUUUUUAAACAAAAUAUAAAAUUUUAAAGUUCAUUUUUUUUUAAAUCAACAAUCAAAUUGUAUUAUUCCCAAUGUUUUCAAAACUGGACCGAUCAUUAAACCGAAAAAGUUACCGGUUCGCGGUUCAUUAGUUUGAUCAACAGUCAAACUGGUGACGUCAUAAAUAUAUAAAUUAUAAAUUAUUAAAAUUUAAAAUAAUUAUAAAAUAAAAUAAUAAUUUAUAUAUUAUUUAAAAAUUAAAAUUUUAUUUAAAAAAUCAUUAAAUUAUUCUCAUAAUAGUCAUGGUUCUUCUUUAAUCAUGGAAGAAAAACUCACAUGCCUAUUUAAAAAGAAAAAAAAAAUGGCAAAAACAUUGAAUGUGAGUUUUAAAAUUUUUAAUUAUUUAUUUGUUAAAAAAAAUAAUAUUUAGAAAUUCUUAAAUUUAUUAUAAUAAACUAUAAUUUUAUUUUUAUUUAAUUUUUAAUAAAUGCUCAUUGCCAAAUGGGUCAUAGGGUAAAAAAGGAAAGAGCAAAUCCUCUCCACUCUCCACUCUCCACUGCUCUCUUGUCUUCUUCGUCCUCCCUAUUUCUUCUUCCUUCUUUUUCCACGACUUCUCAUUUCUCUCCCAAACCCAGUUCUCUCUCAGUGCCACCACACUCCUAUUAUCUUCUCUUUCGGCGAUUCCAACUUUGACACUAGCGGACUCAUCGACGGGCUUGGCUUUCUAAUCAACUUCCCCAAUGGUCGUACCUUCUUUCGCAAAUCAACUGGUCGUCUCUCCGACGGACGCCUCAUCAUCAAUCUUCUUUGUAAGUUACCGCACCCAACCACUCCUCUGGAUUCUCAUUUCUUCUUCCAAUGCGGGGGGUGGGAGGGUGGCAUUCCAAGAAGGGUGGGGUCCUGCCGAUGGGAGACGAUGAGGAGGGGAGGGCUUUUCCAAUAGUAGGGGAUGGCAACAGUGGAAAAAAAAAAAGUUGAACCGGACGGUUGGGGGAAACCGUUUGGUUUAUCCGGCAUGCCGGUCGGACCACCGAUUUAACCGGUCUAAUUUCGGUCUGAACACUAUCCAGCCUAAAUGAUCGGAUCCGAUCCAGUCCAGUUUUUAAAACCAUAUUAUUCAUAUGAAUAAAACUUGAAAAAAAAUAUUUUUUAAAUAAAAUUAGAUAAAAUUUCUUUGUAGUUAUUUUUAUUUUUAUUUAUUUAUUUACUUUUAGUCUUAAUAAAAUUGAAUAAACCCUUUUUUCAAUAAUUUCAUUUUUAUUAAUAAAAUCAAACAAUAAAUAAUUUAUGGUAGAUAAAAAAAAAAGAUUGAAACAUUUUUGUAAUUGAUUUUGGAAAAAUUUGUGUUUCUAUUCAUUUUUUUUCUUUUUAUAUAUAUUAUUUUUAAUAAAUUCUUUUGAUACAAUAAGUGUAAAUAUAUAUUUUUUAAAUUUUGAAUUAAAUCACUUAAAUAAAAUAUUUUGUAAAUAAAUAAAUUGAAAUCACUCAUUCAAAAUCAUUUUUAAUAAAAUCAUUUGAAAUUUCUUGAAAACUAUUUUUUUUUUCAAUAAGUCAUUUUGCAUAAUUCUCUUAUUAUUUAUUUUGUGUAUUAUUGUAAUUAGAUUUUAUCAUUAUUUUUAUGUAUAUUAUUUUUUUUUUGUAUCCAUAAUUAAUUAAUUAAUUAAUUGUCACAAUUCCUUUAAUUCAUUUAAUAGAGGCCGUGCAUAUAUGGGUUUAGAGAGGUGCUCAACUCACCACCAUAUUUUCCCAAUAAGUAACUUGACCCCUGAAUCAGACUUGAUUUUUUCACAGACCCCUUUUUCAUUCAGGAGUCACACUUAGAAUUUUUAUUUCUUAUUUUGUUUUUCCCUUUAAAAAUAAAACAAAAAAUAAGUGUCAACUACAAGUAUUUUUAUAAAAAUCAAAAUUUUACCAAAUAAAUGAAAAGCGAAUCACUCUAUCGAGUGGAAAUGCAUCAAGCGAAACGCGAGGUCCAUAUAUAUGUUCUAAAAAUAAUUUAUUUUUAUAACAAAUUCUCAAAAAAUUAUUUUUUGUUAAAAUUUUAUCAAGUUAUUUUUAUUAUAAAAAAACUAUUUGUCAAACUAUUGUUUGUUAUAAAAAAUAAAAAACCAUUUUCAUUAACAUGAUUAAAAUUUGUUAUGAUGAGCUACAAUGAGAAAUAGCCGGAAAGAUUUGAGUUUCCAAUAAAAAUAAUUUAUUUGAAAAAAAAAAUUAGCGAUAAAUAUUCUUCCAAAAUCAUUUUUAAAUUAGCACUUUUGUACACAUCAUAAAAUUUAAGAAUAUGAUCAACGAUUAUUACAAUAUCGGGUAACCCCGUCAUAUAUUUAAUCCCACCCAAAUAUGUUUGCAAGUGAGAUAAUUGUCUCUUUAACAUAGCUGCAUCUCUUUUCGGAAGACGAUUGAGUCUCCCCGUCUUUUGUUCCAUUCUCAAGUCCCUGAAUUUAUGAAGUCUCGUUUCUGUAGUGGACCAAUUCGUUGACAUACCACCGAGCCAUUUUUUAUUAACAUAAUGACACCGAGCCUUUAUUGCAGCCCAUGCUACUGAAUCCGCUGCUUUAUUUUUGGUACCAACAAUUAAGAAUUGUUUUCCCCUACUUGCUGCAUCAAAAACUAAAUCACAAGCUUCUGAUAAAAAGCGAGCAGUUCUAGUAAGAUUUGUAAUAUGGAUUUUAUAUUUAAAAAAAUUGUGAAGGUGGUUGAGAUGUACUAAUCUAAAAAUGAUUUUUGUAGAAUAUCUAUUUUGUGGAAUUUUUUUUUCUCAAACAUGUAAUUUUUGCUUGUAACUUGAGAGAUUUCAUAUGGGAUGAUGAUUUCUUUGAGAUUGAAUUUUAUGGAAAGAGUUUACAAAUGUUGUCAAAAUUGAAGAGACAUGCUUGUUUCUUCUUUUGAGAUGGGCUUGCACGCUGGUCAAGAUCUCUUCGAAAAAAUUGCCAAUAAUUUCGGCGACGUUUUAUGGUAAAAGGAGCCCAUGCUUGGAUUUGGGGAUCUCUUCUAUGGCCAUUUGCAUGAUGAGACGUGUUCAUCCAACGCUCCUAAGUCAUGUCUCUGCUUUUUAUAUUCUACCAUCACCAAAGUUAGAGUCUCAGUACCUUUCACACUACAUUAUUUCGAUUAAUAAGUUAAUGCUAUGUGUUGAUGAGAGAGAAAAUAUGAGAAAAAAGAUAAAAUAUAAAAAAUAUAUUUAAAUUUAAUAAAUUAUAUAUUCACAAUUAUUUCAAAUUUAUUUCACUUAUUUAAUAAUUUUAACUUGUAAGAUAUUUUUACUAAUGAAAAUAUCCAAUGUGUGAUAUGUCAAGGAUUAGGGCAUCAUCACUCAUACAAUAUUUUAUAACAGUGUAACUUGAAUGAAUAGUCUAAUUCAAUUUACAACAAACUUCACAUUUGAGGAAUUUUAGUAAAGUUUUUAUAAUUAUGAGCUGAGUACACGUCACAUUUUUUUAAUUUAAACUCAAUUUAAGUUAAAUUUGAAUAAAUAUUUGAACUUAAAACGGGACUUUAUUUAGUAUUUUGAUAAUAUUUAUAAUUUUAUAUCAUCCUAUAUAAUAAUCUUAAUUUUAUUUUAAUUUUUAGAUUUGUUUAAAAAGUUAAAUUGUAAUUAUAUGACAUACUUUUUAAUCUUUUAAAUAUAUGUAAAUUUAUUUAUUUUAUUUUUUGCUAUUAUCUUUGAUUUUUUUUUCUUAUUUACUAUUUAAACCUUAAAAUAAAUACAUAAGAAAUAUCAUUACAACACGAGCUUAAAAAAUAAGAUUAAGUUAAAUUUGGAUAGAAUAAUCCGAUUGAUUGAAUUAAGUUUAAAUUUAUUAUAUUUUUAAUCAAGGUUUGACUUUUAUCGCCACUAACUCAAUCCAUCCAUAUUGCAUUAUUAAUAUUUUCUCAAAUAGGAAAAAAAGGAGGUAUUUUUUUUUUUUUGAAAGAAAAAUUAUUUUAUUUAUUUAUUUAUUUGUUUUAUCCAUUGAUUUUGUGGAUAAGGCAAUUGACCAAUUAAAUAUUUUUUUUAUAAAUGAUAAUUAAAAAAUUAAUUUCCAAGUACGAGUAUAAACCAUCCCAAAGACUUCCUAUUUAAAACUUUUAAUAGAAGAGGUUAGGAAAGCUAUUUUUCAUAUUUGACUUUUAUUCCUGGAAUUAAUUAGGCAUCACCCACCACACUCAAAACAACAAGCUACAAUUCCUUAAGAAAACUCUUUUCCAUAUCAGAGAAACUAUCUCCAUUUAUGGUCUGAAUUUUUUAUAUCACAAAAAUAAAAUUUCAAUGCUAUUCAUAAAUGGCUUAUUUAUAAGAAAUGUUUUGUUAAAAGCUUUUAUUUUCGUUGAUUUUUAAAACAGAAAAUAUAUUUAUAUUUCCCAUCAAGUUACUUUCCUUCCUAUUUUUAAAAAACAGCAAGAAAAAAUGAAUUAUCCGAUUCUAUGCUAGACAAAAAUUAGAAAAGAGCCGAUUUUUUUUUUCAUUUUUAUUUGACUCCGACUUUUUCAUAGUUUGCUUCCCCUUGAAGCCCUAAUCUCAUCUUCCCAUUUAAAAGAAAAAUUAAAAUAAAAUAAAAUAAAAAAAUAAAAGGGAUGAAUAGAGGAAAAAAAUGAGAAAGGUAGUGCAAAGGAGUAAUUACUAUAUAAAAAAAAUUUAAUAUAUAAAAUAUGUCCAAAAUUUAGGCUCCCAACAAAAUGGCCCUGGAUAUAAAAUAAAAAUUUGUUUAAAGGAUCUAUGAACUAACUUCAGAAUCUGAAAAUAUAAACAAAAUUUAGGAGACCUCUGUAAAAGAUUUUGUUAUUAUAAAGGUUAAAAAUACUGAGAUAGAUUUAGUAGUUUCUGAAAACCGAACAAUUCCUUAUCCAAACAAGCUGAGCCGACCUAUAUGUAAUCAAAAUGUGGAUAAGAAGAAGCGUGCUACCAAACACGGUGAUUGUCCACCUGGGCAAACGCACAUGCCAGUAUGCCACACAUGAAAAUGGAACUGGCGUGAGCUUUCUAACGCCGACCCACAAUUCUCUUUUGUCUAUAAAUGCAUUGACCCGCUGCCCGUUACCUCCCCCUCUAUAAACUUUCCCGAGAAAGUGAGAGAGAGGAGAGAAGAAACGCUCCUCUUCCGAUCCUCUCUUCUCGUAUUUUCUCACCUAUCAAACACCCCAGCCCGUCCUCAAGCAAACCCUAAUUUUCUCCUGAAUCUCAUCAAUGGCGGAUGCGUUCUGCACCGACUGUAAGAAAAACACCGAGGUCGUGUUCGAUCACUCGGCGGGCGACACGGUGUGUUCCGAGUGCGGGCUUGUGCUAGAGUCUCACUCGAUUGAUGAGACCUCCGAGUGGAGAACGUUCGCUAACGAGUCGGGCGACAAUGACCCGGUCCGUGUUGGCGGCCCAUCCAACCCGCUUCUCACUGAUGGUGGCCUUUCUACCGUUAUAGCGAAGCCGAACGGGGUUUCGGGCGAUUUCCUGUCGAGUUCGUUAGGGCGAUGGCAGAAUCGGGGUUCGAAUCCUGAUCGGGGUCUGAUUCUGGCUUUCAAGACCAUCGCGACUAUGUCUGAUAGGUGUUAAAUUUGUUUUCGGUUUUUGUUGGAACCAUAGGGAUGCUUUUUUUUUUUAUUGGGAAAAUUAAUUUAGUCGAUGGGAAAAGUGUAGGGAAGGUUUAAGCUUCGAGUAAUUUGGGGAUGAAAAAGAUGACAUAGGGUUUACUUCUUUGAUCAUUGUCAACCCUGGAGCUUGCUUGGUUGCCAAGAAAAUUAAGAUCUAUUGGAUGGGUCAUGAAAGUUAAAAGGAAGAAUAGAAAAGUAAGAUUUGAGCAUUGAAGUGCAGUAUGGUUGCUGCAAAAAUUGAUGAUAUCUUGACUAGUGAGCAAAUGUAGGAAAACAAGUCCUAGGAAGAGAGCCUUCGGUUUAAUAUCGAUCUUCAUUUGCUGGGAUCUUUUUGGCUGCGGAGAGUGUGGGAAGGAAAGAAAAUGAAAUUGUAAUUUUGAAUACUCAAGAUCCGUGGAACCAAAAAUGCCCAAUUAAACAGAUUGACUCCAUUUUAAGUAUCGUGCUAUCUGGGACUGGGGCCAUAGGAAAAAAUCGCCUACGGGUCCAAUAAAUUUGGGUUUUGGCUCGUUGUUAGUCCUAGAUGCCAUAUUUGGUCCCUUUUAAAAUGUCUGGAAAUAAAAGAAAAGAAAAGAAAAUUUAAAUCUUGGAUUACUUAGAGAAGAAGUGGAAUAGUCAUAUACUUGAUUUCAAGGUUUUGGUUUAAGUCAUCCGUAGGUUGCUUUUCACGAAAAGGCUAACUCGGAAUAAAAAACCAGCAUAGGAACUUAAUUUGAUUUGGCCACCUUUCCUAAAUCCAAAUUUGUCAAACUAGUUGGGAGUUUAAACUCCUGGACGCGGGUAUACAUUUAAAUAUUAAUAGAAGUUCGUAAUUUAUUUUUGGAUAGGUUUAUAAGAUGUCAUUAAUUUAUUAUUUGUUUAAGUAAAUUGGUCUCAUAGAGACCCUAAGCAUCUAAUACAAGGUUAAGUUAAUAUUGGUUUUUCCAUACUAAUAUGUGAGGAUGUGUAGAUUUUUAUUGGAAAGUCUUCAUAUUGCUAAAUCUCAUAUUUUUCCAAAAAUUAGCUUGUAGAAAUAUUUUCAUAAAUUGCUAUUACAAAAAAUGUAGCUAAUGCAGCUACUUUAUGUUUCAGGUUGGGCCUUGUUGCGACCAUAAAGGUAUGCUAUCUAUGUGCUGCUAUCAUAUUACAUUAUGAGAUAGAUAGUUUCAGCCCACACAAUCCCAAACAUAGAUAGUUUAAUGAACUAACUCCUUUGUAUUUUCAUUGUUUGUAAAUUAUAUGUAAUAUAUGGGGUAUUAUCCUUUUCUUUCCUUUUUGUGUAAAAGGAAUUAUUUUGUCUAGCAAUUUUAACAUUGGGUUGGUGCUAACAAAGAAGAAAAAAAUUGUCUUUGAAUAUGUAUUACUUCCCUUUUUUGUUUGUUUGUUUGUUUACCUUCCAACAAUCUUAAAAUCAAAGGGUACUUUAGUACCAAACUUCCAUAGACUCUUAUGCUGAUAUCACAUCGUGACAGGGUUGUCAUAAAUGAAUAAAGCCUAGGCAUAUCAGUAAAGAAAUUCUAAAAAUAAAAAUAGCUAAAAUUAUAGGAAUCCACAUCUUUUGUUUUCAAUCCAACAUCCCAACAUCCCAGUGAUAUAUUUGCAAAUGAUUCAUUAUUUCUCAGAAAUUACUGAAAUAGAAGAAAGGUAUUUUGAUCUAUGACAUGAAAAAAUGCAAUUCAAUCUUGGGAGAAAAAUAGAAACCAACUAUCAUGGGUGAGGAGGCUGUUUGCUCGAUUAGUCAUGCAUGAAUGUGACUUAAGUGUAAGUGGUCUUGGUCAAAUUGGCAUUAGAAGCAACUCUGGAAAUCAUCCUUGUAUGUCGGGUUUCUUGUUUAUUGUUUGUUGAGUUUUUUGGGUUUUUGCAAGCCUAUGAAUAGAGCUAUUUAAUAUAAACGACAAUGAUUAUGCUAGUUAUCUUUGCUAUCUAUAAAAAAAAUGAAUGCUAGUUAUGUUUGCAUUCUUUAGUGGUGGAAUACCAUUACUAUCUCCUUUUAGAUGAGGCCUCUGUAGGUCUCAGUGAUCAAAGGUUUUAACUCUUUGUGUUCCUCCUCUAUGUUCUCCUUGCUUUUAUUUUACCAUAUUUUUUGUUGCCAUUAAUUUCUCAUUCCUAUCCUUCAAUCCUAAGGAAGCGACUCCGUAGCCUGUGAUUACUUGAUUUUAUGCAAGUGAUAUUCUUGUGGCAUAUUUGGAUUGGCUCUUGGGCUGCUUUAUCUUACCUUUUGCCUAUAGAAGUUUGCUAUUUAUCGGGGAGGCUCUAUUUUGGCAUCAGUUGGUUUUUUAGUAAAAUUCUAAAAGGCUACCUCCAUCAAUUAUGUUUUUAACUAAAAUGCCAUUUCAUAAUUGCCUCCUUUCCUCUCACCCUUUCUUUGGUAACUACUUCCAACAUGCAUGUUUAGCUAGAUGCAGAUCAUGUUUGUCCAGCAACAGCCAAAGACGAGUGCAGAGAAGCUAAGUUUAACAGGUUUAUUAUGGUUUAGAGGUCGUAGACGAUAGUGAGAGGGAGGGAUAGCAGCAGAGCAGUAAACCUUGAAAAGAAUUUGGAAAAAAAUGUAUUAAACAUUUCUUGCAUUUCAAUCUAUAUAUGAAUACGAAUCUCUGGUAUAAGUUGAACAAAAAGUCAUAUUUCUGUCUGUGCUUGUUAUUCCUCCCAUAAUUUAGUUUCAAAGUUAUUUGAGUAUCGUAUCUCCUCUGAUGGUGCCUUUGUAAUUUAUUUGAAGGACCGCGCUAAUGAAAUAUAUAAGAAGGUAGAAGAUCAAAAGUCUACUAGAGGAAGAAAUCAAGAUGCUCUGUUGGCUGCCUGUCUCUAUAUUGCUUGUCGACAAGAAGACAAACCACGCACCGUAAAGGGUACAGCCUAAGAUUCUUUUAACAUAUGGAUGCUUCCUGAUUUACUAUUCUCUAUGCGAAUGAGCUUCCUGAAACUGUGGAUGUCAACUAGAAAUUUGCUCUGUUGCCAAUGGAGCCACAAAGAAAGAAAUUGGCCGAGCAAAAGAAUACAUAGUGAAACAACUAGAGGCUGAGAAGGGUCAAUCGGUAGAGAUGGGAACUAUACAUGCUGGAGACUUCAUGGUGAGGAUUUUCUGAAGUUAAGCACAUUUGUUAUGUUUAUGUAGGCGGCAUUUUGUACACUGCAAUAUUGUUGUUUCUUAAAUAUGUCUUGUUAAUGACAUUAAUCUUAAUCUAAUCUCUAGAGGAGAUUUUGUUCCAAUCUCGGGAUGACCAACCAAGUGGUUAAAGCUGCCCAAGAAGCUGUGCAGAAGUCUGAAGAGUUUGAUAUAAGGUAUAGUUCUGGUUUUCUACUCUUGUCAUGUUACUAUCCUGAUACCAUUAUGCUUAAUGAUGGUUAUUUGCAAUUUUUAUUUUUCUAUUCAUAUCAAUUUUGCAUGAUUUCUGAAUCAGUACAUUUAGCUGGACAAGCAGGAGUAUCUGAAAGAACUUUUAAUUUUCUCAAGCAACCCAAGCAGCAAAUUAAGAAAAGAGCUGAUUGAGGUAGUAUAGGGUUUAUGAAUGUUUAGAAUGAAAGUCAAUAAAGAACACCCAUAAGAAACUAGUCAAUUUGAGCUAGCUGAAGGUUCUCUAUGAGGGAUUGAUUAGGACCAAAAAGGUUGUUCAUGGAGUUUGGUCAAAGUCAAAAGUUUUGGCAUCUCAUGGUAUCUUCAGUAAGGAUUAGAUCUGCCCAAAAGAUGAAUGACUCUUUGGCGUGCUACUCCCUCAAUCUCAUAGUUGUGUUCAAGCGCAUGUGUAAAUUAGAUUUACCCUAAAUAUGGUAUUUUAAGGGAAAUACUCCCUCCCUUCCGCUGGGUUAUGCAUGUGUAUUUGCAAUCCCUAUAGUGGCAAGUGUUGGAAUGGAGUCUAACUCGAAAAAUGUAUCGUUCUGCUUUAAAUAUGGCAUUUUGAAGGAUUAUGCAUUAGAAAUCCUCAUUCUGCUUUAAAUGUGGUAUUCUUCGUUCCGCUGAAUUUUGCAAUAGUGUUAGCAAUCCUCUUCUAGCACUGGAAAUAGGAAACUAGGGCCCAGAUUGAACAAUGAAUGACUGCUUGAACUACAAUCCAAGCCUUGAGUUUAACAUGGGCUACCCGACCAAAAAGCUGCCCAGUCUGAUUUUCUUGAACUAGAGGCAAAACAACUUGGUAGUAUGAUAGAACGGAGAGAUGAAGCUUGAGAGAUGUGUUGAAAUGAGGAGGAUGGUGUCAACUGGUGAUGGGAGUGCAGUGUUGGGGGUCGGGGGGACCUAGGGAAAGCAAGGAGCUGGUUGUGUUUGUUUUGGUUUGGUUGGAAACAUAAUGGACUUAGAAGUUAGAAUUAGAGAAAAUCACCUAGUGAGAGAGGACAUAUGGGACUAAAAGAGUUGCUCAGACUUCAUUCUGAUCAUGUGCACUGAAAAACAGAGGUCAAUCGUGCUGAAGAUGCUAGGGUUUAUUUUGUAAGAGAAGCAGGGGAUCUAAAAGUUUUAAGUUUUUUAUGCCUUUGAAGCGAUGUACUAUGACCAGUAGAGAGGAGAUAUGCAACAUGUCUUUUGAGUAUAGGGUUCUUUUAUUAUGUUUUGUACUUUUGACCCCCUUCCUUUUUUACUGGAUAGCACAAGAUGCAAACAAAUAUUGAUCACAUGGGUGCAUUCCCUGAUCAAGAAAUGGGAAUUUUUUCCCAUUCCCUGAUCAAGAAAUGGAAGUAAUGGUUUAUUGAUAUCAUUAGCCCACAUAAGUAUUAUUUUUUUAAUUUAUAAAAAUUUAGUAACUGUGCAUGUUCAAAAGUUUGCUUUUUCGAAAUAUUCUGUAUUCACCAAGAGGAAACCACUGCCAUGCAAAUUGUCCUCUUGUGAACUACUAACCUGUCAACUGUCCAAGGUCUUCACUGCUCAGUUCAUGUCCCAGAAAUGGUUCAUCUCUGGAUGGCACUAAAAUCAUGGUGCUUUAAAAUUUUACCCCAAGAAACCAAAAAAAAAAAAAAAAAAAAAAACUGAAACUGACUCCUGUCUCUCUCUAGCUCCAGAUUUUUUUUUUUUUUCACACAAUGGCCCAAGUGUACAUAAAUUUGAGCCUCUGCAUGAUUAGCCAAGUUGUGCCUCAGAAAUGAUUUUCUGUCUUCAUGGAACAUAAAAAAGGAUCUUUUCAUUGAUAUGGAGGUUUUUUAUGGUUAUUUAUUGUUGUGUUUGUUUGUUGGGAUUUGGGUUUUGGGGAAGGAGGGGUGUGGCCAUUGUGGGUGGAUUUCUUUGUUAAGAAUAAGGAACAUUUUUUAUUCAGAAGUAAAGUGUUCAUGGAUCUUGCUCAAAUGGAAGUGUUUUGCUUUUUUUUUAGUCCCUCUCAUCUUGGUUGUUUAUCUAAUGAUUACAACUUGCCCAUAAUAAUAAAAAUUAAUAACUCUUUUUGUCUUUUUAUUCUUUUCUCAUUUCUUUUGUUUUUUAAUUUGUUGCAGGAGAAGCCCAGUAUCAAUUGCAGCAGCAGUUAUUUACAUUAUAACUCAGCUUUCAGAUGAGAAGAAGCUUCUCCGAGGUUUAAACAUCCACCAUUUUAUCCAAAUUGGUUUGCAUAAGAGCCUUGAAACUGAAAAAUAGGGGGUUUCUUAUUGCCUUGCUACUAUCCCCUUUACACACACUAAUUCUGCAUGAUUGUUACCAGACUGUCCAUGGUCGCAUAAUUAGAAUAGAAUUUUAAGGAUUGACAUGGCUGAUGGUUGGGCUCCAACAUUGCAAUCAGUGAGGCCAAUGUUGGCUCUUUGUGUCUCCUAUUUAUUCAUAUUUUGAAGUUGUAGUUUGGUAAUAAUGGAAACAUGGGUGGUGCAGAUAUCUCAAUUGCUACGGGAGUUGCAGAAGGAACAAUCAGAAACUCCUACAAGGAUCUCUAUCCCCACAUUUCAAAGAUAAUACCAAGUUGGUAUGCCAAGGAGGAGGAUCUCAGAAAUCUUUGCAGCCCUUGAACAAAGUUGUGGAGCAAAAUACAACAGCAGCGGCAGAGCACACAAUAUCCGUCUGGGAGCAUAUCUUGCAUUCGAAUGUUCUCCAAGUCUUGUUUAACAUACAAAAACCAUUCCAAUUUUCCUUUUCCUUUUCUUCUUCUUCUUCUCCUCCUCUUAUUUAGUUUUCCAUGAAUGGUACCAAUGCCCUUGUGGAUUUUGCUUGGAUUUUUAUUUUAACACUUUAGGCAUCAGCAGCUAUUUUUUUAGAUGUUGGCUAUCCCUUGACCAACACACACUCCCAAGAGUGCAUAUAAUAUAAGAUAUUUCAUUUCGUUCAUACUUGCUGGGUGGCUCAUGCUUAAAAUAAAUAUGUUGUUGGUAUUUUGUUCCCUUCUUAUUUAUUCUUAAAUAGUAUAACCAAGUCAUUUUCAAAGUCUUUCUUUUCUCAUUAUGAAUCCCCUUCCAUUCCACAACAAUAGAAAUUGCUUUUGUUUUAGACAUGGAGACUGAAUUGAAACCACGCCGUUUUCGUUGGAGAGAAUCCAUCUCUGCUUGAUUUAAUUUUGCUAAUUCCUCUAGAGCUUAUGGGCCAUGGGGGGGAAAAUUAAGUACUUGUUUGGUAAUUGUUUUUGUGAAUGUAGUCUAUUUUUCGGAACAGAAGUGCAAGAACCGAAAAUUUGGUAUUCGAAAAACAAGAAACAAGAAGCAAUUUUUUGUUUUUAAAAUAAAAAAUAGGGCGUUAAUAGAGGGUAUGCUGUAGUGUAACGUGCACUUCUCUUCUGUCGGCCACAAGGAUUCAAGCGGUGCGUUUUCGCUCCUUUUUGUUCCGCAGUCUUUCUCCUUCUUCCUCACUCCCAACAAAUCCGUACAAUCAUCAACCACAGCAUCGGAGAAGAAAGAAGAAGACUGCCUCCACCCUACUGCAGAAGGAGGGUAUAAAAUCUUGUUCUCUUUUCCAUUUCCCCUUUUUUCUAAGAAAAGUUUCUAGUAGUUUUUUAGAACUUGUUUUUAAAAUCAGGGGAAAAAAUGUCUUCGUCCUAAUCAACUGAGAUUAAAAUCCAACACCAAAAUUAUCGGUGCAGUGACUUGUUAUAGUUUUUGAUUUUUUUCGUCUUCUUCUUCUUCUUUCUUCUUUUUGGGACAAUUGGAGUUUUCUAAAAUUGAAAUGUGAUUUUUUCAGUAAUUGGUAUCGUGGAGGAUGAGGAUUGGGCAAGUUCUUCCGGUGGAGCUAGCAAUUCUGAGAUCUAUCUUCAAGAUGCCAAUGAUGAAGAAGAACAUUACUGUAUUUCUGGUUCUAUAUCCAAUUUGCAAUUUAGGUAGAGCUUUAGAACCAAUAGCUCCCAUCGAGGUCCAGAAUAGUGGUUUUACAACCUAAAUGUGUGUAUUGUUUCGCAGCAAAGCAGUUUCCAAGGCGAUUUGGAAUGAUGAGAUAGGAAUGGCUGCGGUUGUGGAAAAGAAGGGCAAGAUAUGGAUAACAACUGGAGUAGUUCGAAACAGCAAGACCUAUUGCUCAAUUGAGGAGACUUUGUAUGCGACAUACUGACUUUAAUGUUUCUAAUUCUUGUUUUCUUAUUGUUGUAAUUAUUAUUUGUUCCUUUAUCAUUCCUUACAUCUCUUGACAAGUGAUAAUGCAACUACCAUAAACCCAAUGCAAGUAAUUGAGCGAGUCUUUGAUUUAAUUCAUUUACCUUUUUGAAUAGGAUGCUAGAGUCUUCCAAACAUGAGCUACAAAACAAAUCUUAGAGAGCCUAGACAUUAUGACUACAUUGUUGUGCUACCAGGUAGAGGAUGGUCAAGUGGAGGAUUUGUUGAUGGAUGUAAAGCUGGUCAAAUAGACGUCUUAGGACACAUUAAACAUUGUGAAUAAUCUAUCUACUAUAUAACACAGAAAAUGUGUAUCUACUGGAAACAUGGGAAACUUUAGUUGGGGCUUGGCUCAAUGUAAAUAUGGUUUUGAGUAUGAUAUAAUUAGUUGCAAGAUUGCUUAUAUUUACAUCUCACGGAAUACUUUUAACACAAUGAAAGCUCAAAAUAGUAUUAUUUUCUUUGUAAUUUUGUUGGUUUUAGCCAUAAUUUUCUUUGGUGCCUUACCAGAGGAAAAAGAAUGGCAACGGAAAAAGUAAGCAAAGAGGUCUGUAAACGCUAAACAAUGUUGAAUUUACCUUACCAAAAUUUCAAUUUAUCAUGCUGUCUAAAUUAGCCAAUUUCAGCAAGACCUGAAGGUUAUUCAAAAAUGCGUAGGGGUUGAAGAUGGUAGUACUUACGAAAUAUUUUUUUAAUAGGUAAGCAGAAUCUGAUUAAAGAUGCCAAACAGAAAGGAGUUACAUCCUAUGUACAUGGGGGGUAUAAAAGAAAACCAAGCAACCUAACUAUGUAUAGUUUAGACUGUCAAUGAAUUCCAUCAAUUUAAAAUUUUCAUAUGUAAAGGGAAUCUAGACCCUUCACAAAGGAACAUAAUAAGAAACUCCUUUAAUUUUUUUAUUUAAAUUCUCUUUCCUUUUAAAACAUCGUUUGUGCUGCUCUCUCCAAAUGUACCAAGAAGCAAAGGGUGGUCGGACACCAAACCUUCGUUAAUUUAUCUAGCCUCCAAAACUUUUAGUCUAAUAAAAAGUCUUUGACUAAGGAAAAAUCCGUUGUCUUCCAAAUAUAUCCAGCAACAUUUCCCACAACUGUCUUGUUAUGGUACAGUCAAAAUUACCCUCAAAAUGUCUCUUUUGAUUGUAUAUUUCUUAUCUAGUAGUAUUUGAGAAAUAUACAAUUAAAAAAAAAAAAUAUCGAUUUUAACUUUUUUUAAGGAGAAUUAAAUUUUGCUAUACGCAUACAACAAAUUAUUCACUUGUGCGAUCUUUGAGGAGAAGAUUAAGAAGUACUCACUAGUCAUACCCUUUUUGUUAGCAAUAUGCUUAAAGCUUUUUGUGUAGGUUUGUGGCUGAACAAGGAGCAUUGCAUCUAUUGGAUGAUAAUAAUGUGACUAUUUCCUUAAAAGGUAUAUAUGAUAAGGUUGCACAAGGGAAGUGUGGAUGCUUUUGGGAGUCUUUUGAGGUUUAUAGGCACUUGAAGUCUCUUGGUUACAUUGUUGGGCCGCAUGGGAUCCUUUGUACUCCGAAGAGUACCAAAACUUGUUUGGAAUCCCAUUAGGGCACCCUAGAAGGCAAGGUAUGAUACAUGGAGAAUCAAAGGAUAAAAUUUCCAUCAUAGAACUGGUCAAUAAUGUGCACAUUACUAAAGUUAAACUGGUUUUUGAUGUUUAUCUUCCUAAUAGCAAGUUUAGGAAGUCUUUUUCGGGUGAUCCAAGUAUACCAUAUUUCAUCAAGUUUUUUAUGGCAAUCAUUUGUUUCUGGGUUAUGUCCAAUUUCCUGCUAUAUUAGAUAUAGCCAUGAUGUUUUUUCACAAGAAGGCAUGUCUAAGUCGUGUUCUUUUUUGAUAAGUAGGAAAUUGUAUUAAAAAUGCAUAAAGCGCACAAGAGUACACUGGGAGUAUGCAAUGAGCGUAAAAAACAGAAUAAAAAAGGGGGUAAACAAAAACAACUCCUACCCUCAGGAAGGACCCAACCAAACUACACAAUCAAUUAAGGACAAAGAAUUCUCAUGAAUGUACACCUAAAUCCACAAAAAAAGAUUGGCAAGGAAAGAACUAUUAAGACUUUGAUCUCACAUCUCCUCAUCUUCAAACACUCUUCAACUUCUUUCCUUCCAUAGAGUCUAAAAAAUACAUAAAGGGGCUGCUCUUCAAGCUUUCUUAUGCCUUAUUCCACUAGAAGAACUUUGCCACCCUAGUAGGGUGUCUCAUACCGAGGUAGAAACAACCCAUGGGAUCCCAAAUAAAGAGAACACCAACAGCCAUAAGAUCCUUGCCUUAGCACAAUGAAGAAGAAUGUGGUUGAUGGAUUCCAACUCCACUCUGCAAAGAGCACACCUAUUGACUAAUGACCGACCUCUUCUUUGGAGUGGUCCAAAGUCAACACCUUCCCCCAACAAACUUCCCAAGCAAAAAUUUUCACUUUAGAGGGAACCCAAAAAUUCCGUAUAAUCCCUAUUGGAAAAGGGGUAACACAAUCUGGUUUCAACGAGUAAAGGACUCUUACAUAAAAUCUUCCUUUACUAUAUCGCCUUUCCAAACCACUCUAUCCUCCUAUUCCCUAUUCACCGAAUGACCUUGCAAUUGAAGAAGGAAUCUCUCCACAAAAUCCAACUCCUAAUCAUUUAGAGUCCUAGCAAAAUGGAACUUCCAAGCCCCUCCUCCCUCCUUUUGCUCCCACAAAUCUACUACCUACACCUUUUUAGCGUCGGAUAAAGCAAACAAAAUAGGGAACAUAUAAGUCGUGUUCUUGGAAAAGGUACAAAGUUUUUUUCCCAAAUGUUGUGUGGUUUAAGAAAAAACUAUAUGUCAAGAUAUCAAUAGAUCUUGAACUUUUUUGGAAGUGGAACUCAUGCUUGUCAUAGCUUUUCAUAGUUGUGACAAACAAAAAAUAUUUCUUAAAAAACGACUUUGAAUGUGAAGGCUACAUCAAAAUGCAUUUUAACUCCAAGCAUUACUGAAGUUUUAUUACAUUCUAGAAGGAAAUUAUUUUUGGUGGGCUAUUAGAGUGGUGAAUACAUGGAUAUGAAUAUCCAUGUUUCUUUUUUAAAACGUUAUUUCCAUUAACUUUGUGGAAAUUUUCUUAACAAUUUGAGAGGGAACAGUUGUCAUCAUUGACAUCUUUUAUGGGUUGACUAAUUUGUCCAGCAUGAAGAGAAGCAUGUUCCUUGUUUGUAUUUGAAGCAAUUUUCUUACUAUGCUUUCCUUCUGUGUCAAAGAAAUUAUUUGCAUAGCCAAAAACAAUGAAAACUUGGAAAUAAUAAAUUCUUCACUUAGUAGUUUCAAAUUCUGUUUUCUAAUAAUUUGGACAUGUAAGAAAGAAAGCUCAACCAUGGUUCUAGUUACACAGAACCUGUUUAAAGCUUUCUUAUUCUUUGAUGUCACUUAGACUGCCCUAUUUGGUUAAUAUUUUGAUAGGUUGUUAAUAAAAAAUGUGCAAAAAAUAGCCUGAAAUAAGCAGGGGCUGUUGCAUAAUAAUAAUCAGCCAAGUAACAUUUUUUUUUUUAAUUCUCCAUGCCUACAGGUCAUGCAAUGUAUUAUUGCUCUUUUUGUGCUGUAUGUUGAUUAUAACUCGAUUAAAGCACCUUAGGCUUAUUUGCUAGCAGUUUAACAUCUUUAGCUGUUAAAAAUGGGGGAAACAAAGGAAAUUUGGAAUGUUACUGUUCCUUGGUUCUUUCUUAAAAGAAGCAUUUACUCUUGAAGAAUACUUCUGAAUUAGGCCAUAGCUAUCAUUUCAAUGGUCGUUAGAGUUCAGUCAUUCAUUUCCAAAUGCUUCAUUUCUUCUCCCUUCUAUGCAUUUGGUUGCUUAUUAUUAACAUGUUCUAAGAGCUAAAAAUUUUGUUUUCUCACAUAGUGGUCCUCCACCAUUGAAAGCACAGAUUGAAGACCUUUAGAGACAGCGCAGUGGCGUUCCUUUCAAGUUUUGUCAUGUAGCACAUGGACAGGUUAGUUUCUUCUCCUUCAGCAGAGUGGAACGGAACUGUUCUGCCCUGACAUUCUGGAUGAAGUUUUAUGUGUACAAAAUCUGUUAGAUUAGUCUAACUAAAAUGUAGUUGGAGUUGCCAGAGCGUAUCCCUACAUUGUGGUGUGUCUUAUUUAUAUCAGGACAAUAAUGUUUGCAUAUGAAAGUCCUUUUUAGAGUGUUUGCACAUGGAAAACUAUUUGCGAAUAACCAUGUAUUUUAUCUCUGUAAUGCAUAAAUCAUUUACUUGUCAAAUGUUUGCUUUGAGAAAAUGAUCAAGGAUAUAUGAACCUCUUGGUCCCCAAUGCAAGCCUAAAAUUUUUCUCAGAAUUGGUCUUUUAAAAAAUAUUCAGUUAAUUUAAACUUUUAUCAGAUAUUGGUACCUUUGUCUUGUCAAAAAUUUCAAAAGGGAUAAUAUUAGCUUUUGUGGGACUUCAUCAGAAUCAUAGAAAAUAACACUCUGAAGCAGUAAGCUUUUGGCUAUUAGCCCUUUUCAGAGUUUAAUUGUUCUUUGCAGUUUAUAGAGACAAAAAAAAGUUGAGAACAUGAUUAGACUUUUAAAGUACUAUGAGAAAUCAAAUCUUAGAAGAAGGAUCAGUUUCUAAUGGUGAGCUUUAUUUAAAAGCAGAAGGAAAAAUACAAGAAGAAGCUUCUCUGCCUAGCCAAAUCUUAGAUGGAUCUGUUGUGUUACUCCUCUAGUCUAUUUCGUUUGUCUAUUCUUUUUCAUUGCAUUCAUGACUAAUCAUGGUAAAAUAUUGUACUGAUUUGUAAAUGAGGUUAGUUGGCUAAUUAACAGAAUUAAUAUUCUAGCUAAGGCAAAACUCCAUGGAAGCAUUAUGGGACUGAAAAAUAACAAUAAUAACAACAAUAGUAGCCAUGAACAGGUCUCAAUACAUUUCCAAUAUCAAUCAUUGUAUUACACUUAGUGCACUUGUUUUUGGAUGUUUGCUAUAAUAAAUUUAUUCAUGAUCAUGACUUUUGAUUCAUUUAUGUUCUUAUCAAAGUACUCAGUAUAUUGAUGGGCACCUUUUUUUUUCCCUUGUUUUUCUUCAUGGCUAAUGUUUUUUAUUUUCUUUAUUGCACAGAGUUUGAACAUGGAACCUCUCCCAUUCUCAUCUCUAUCCCUUGCCACUUGAGCAAGUCUCAAGGGCUAUGCUGAGAAGAUCUUUACCAAACUAGCAUUAGGUCUGAAUUCAAAAAGAUUACUAUUGUCAAUUUUUGGAAGCUUAUUGUCAUGACUUGCUCAAAUGGCCCUCCCUUGAGCUUAUAUAGGUGAGUGGGAAGUUUCUAAAACCUUGGAGUCAUCUACACUAGUGGAAGAGUGUGGAAGGUUCUGGAGAGACUUAGAGAUGUUGACACAUCUCUACACUAUGGUGGAAGACAAGGGAAGAGUAUGGAGCUAUCUACAAAGUUCCAGAGGUCUCUUGUAAAUACUUUUAAAUAGUCUAUGUAUAGAGAAUUCUAGGAUAGUGGGGAAUCUUUGGGGGUUCUAGGGAGUUCCACUAGUGCCUAUAAAUAGGCGAGGGCCUCAUUUGGCCAAGACAUCACUCAAAUCACCUCCUAACCAAGCAAGUGAGCUUCCAAAUCAUUAUAAAACAUCCUUUGAGCAAUAAAAACUUCCUUUCUUUAAGUGUCUUUUGUUCUCGUAGCUUCCAAGUCAUGUGUCUAAUUUAGCCUAACUAGCUAAGGACAAGGGGAAGGCUAAGUUAGCAACAUCAAGCGUCUUGAAGUUGUCUAACUACCGCACAUGAGCUUAGGAGAAGCCUAAGUCCGUGACAUUAUGCAUUUAUUAAAUAUGUUAGAAGAAUACGGUUUGUAUAACUAAAGGCUUAGAGAUUUGUUUAUUAGAUAGCUUAGCCUAGAAAUGAUCUUAUGAUCCAUUAGGGGCACAUAUCCGUUGCAAUAAAGAGACUGUUGGAACAAAUUGCAGAGUCAUUUUCAUGAAGCUCAUUAUGUGCUCAUUGUGUGGCAUUCCUUCUUUGUUCUUUAUGGUUUUGGCAGAGAAGGGUUUGCCUUGUUCUUUUCUUCCAACCUAAUUUCAGUUAUAGACAUUGUAGUGUCUGACCAAGUCUCAUUGUCUCAACCUAGUGGCCUAUGGAAUGUAGUGGCCAGACUGAAGAUUAGAGUGCUUUGGCAAGACUUUUCCAUACCUGGAGCAGUAAGAAAAUCAUUACUCUAGAGGUCAUUUUCUAGAUUUGGAGAAGUUUGUUGCCCAGUUCAUCACCAAAGCAUUGCAAGCAUUAUGGAGAAAGUUCUUAUAUCUCUAAUAGUUUUAAGUAAGAUUUGCAAUUUAACUACUCAAUCCAAGUUUUUUUUCUCUUUUUAACUUUUUUUUUUUUUUUCCCUCUCAAAUUAAAGAAGGUUAAUAAGGAGAGAUUUGUAAAGCUAUUCUUAUAUUUUAACCUUUUCUGAUCCUAGGAGAGCCUUGCUUUGUUGAUUGUCAAUCCCUUCAACCUGAGAACUGUAGUCACAGGGAUUCACACACACAUACACAUUGCACACAUUCAUCCCCAGAUAAGUAAGAGCUUGCGCACACUUACAAAAUGAUUAAUUUCAAUAAGUGAAGUGUAUUUUGUAGUACUGAUUUUCAUUCAAUUUAUCAGAAGAUUUGAAUCUAAAGAAGACAAUUCUAAGGUAGGACAUUUUUUGCUUCAAUGUGACAAAUAAAUUUAUCUGCUAAUAUGAGCAAUGAAAGAAUCCAACUCCAUGCAAGAAGCCCCUCUGUCAUCCAUUGACCUCCAGAUGGCACCACCCAAUUCCACAGCCCUCUUCCUUAUGUCAUUGCCUUCUUUUGAUGCCAUUAAUCUUCUUAGGGCCUUUUCAAUUGUAGACGAUGUAACUAGUUCUUCCUGAUGUUCCCAUUCUCUAAAAACUAGACCAACUUUGAGCAAUUAGGUUACUAGCAGACUGUUCUGAGGCUGGUCCGAGUGCAUUGGCCAUGCUGCUAUAGGGACCCCCAUGGUAAUGCUCUCCAUGCAUGAGUUCCAUCCACAGUGACUCAUGAAUCCACCAGUAGACACAUGCCCCAGAAUUUCCAGUGGGGGUGCCCAGUCUCUCACAACCAUUCCCAGUCCCAUUGCUUUCACUCUCUCUUCUUACCCUUGAGGAAGUUCAGCUCUCCUGACUUCUCCAGUAAAAAUAUCUCCUCUAUAAGCAUCCCUCAACACCCAGAUAAACUUUUGCGCACUCUGUUCUAACCCAAUAGCUAGCCCUUUGAUCUGGUCAUCAGAGACCGAGACAAAUGUUCCAAAUGAAAUGUGUACUACAGAUUGUGGAUCUUGUUUAUCUAGCCAUUCCAAGCAUUUAUCCGGGCUAUUUGAGUUCCUAUGCCGGUAGAUUGUUACUGGGUUUAGUGGUCCAAUUGCCCAUUGCUUCUUGUUUCCAUUCAUCUGUUCAUUAGCUAAUAUAUCAAUGUGAGUACCUUCUGUUAUCUGCAUGUGUUGUAGAGAUCUCCAACUGCAGUUUUCGCAAACUCAUAUUGAUGAGCAGAGAAAUUCAUGAUCUCAAAGGUGAAGCAAGGAUGGAAGCUCGUCAGGUAUUUCUGCUGCUGGUGGGACAGUUUUUCCCAGGGCUUCCCACAAGUAGGUGAAAACGGAAAAAGCAGUGCGCAGUGGAACCCAUAGGCUUCAGCAUUUGGGAUUGAAGUAGCAUCCCAAACAACAGAGGCUAUAAGAGGGUCAUGGAUGAUAAUCAUUCUUUUGGUUGUGGGAGAGAGUGCGCUGACGGGUUGGCGAAGGUGCAUAGAGGCUUCAAUGGAUGGCUGAAGGUGUGCAGAGCAUUUAUUGGAGGAGUUGGGGUUGGGAGGAGGAGAGACGAAAGGAGGCAUUGAGAAGUCAAGGAAAUGGAUUUUAGUAUUGUCCAUAGGAUUCAAGCCAUGAGCUCGAAGCUUGACCUGCCGAUUAUGUACGGCGGACCAUUUGUAGUGAACUUGGAUGUUAUAGGACGAGAUGAGGUGGGACAAUUGCAAGAACUGGUUGAGAUGACCUUGUGCUGGUAAAGGCAACAUGAUUACAACUACUGGAGCUCGUCUGCGGCCAUCUUGGUCAUGAUUUUGAUGAUGGUAAUGCUGCUCAGCUAUUGAUCAAACUUGGGAAGGUAUCUACUUCUUCACGGAAUAAGGAAAUAGGUUUUGGAUUUUGGUUGAAAUCCCAAAAUGUAUUGACCACUGACCAACUUGACUUUUAGUGUUGCCCCCAUUUCUUGUCUUGACAUUUUUGUCCCGUAAUAUGGUAUAAGCAUAUGACUCUUGUUCAUGAUAAUAUAUAUCAUUGAGUUUUGAAAACGAAAUUGCAUGGCUCUUGCAUCAUUAUUCAUAUCUACAUGGUGGAGAACUUUAGUUUUUUCGAUGCCUACGAAACCUUGAAUAAAUUUUGACAAGAACAGAGUAAGAGCAGAAGAACCCACGUGGCACUUAAGCUUUUGGGUAUUUUGAAAGGUUCAUGAAUCCACUGCAAAGAAUUGGGAAGUGCUAGGAAAGCUCUAAAUUAGCUUUUGAAUCUUUGUGGUGAUGUGUAUUUGGACGCAUAGUAGAUUAGGACCCCACUCUCACUGUGUCACCAGUGGCACAAAGAACCCACUGUGUAGAUUAAAUAUAUUAAUGCCUGGUCUUAAGGUGCUCAGGCUAUUAGUUAGCACUUAGCAGCACCUUCUCAAUACCACUUACCUAGUGGCAUAAAAUAUCUGUCAUCUGUACUCAGCACUAGACUUUAUGUCAAAGGCUUGUAUCCACAACUUUCCAUAUUUGGAAUUUUCAGGCAUCAGUAGGUCAUUCAGUUAGUAAGAAGAGAACUUGUGCAAGCCUCAUUAAUCAUCAAAUCAAGGAACAGAAGGCCCAUUUUGUUUUGUUAGGAGAAAGCUUGUUUUAAAUCCGAAUUGAUCGUCCAAGUGCUGUAGGAACCCUUCAUGCUGUCAAAUUAGGAGGGGUUCUGAGAACCUACAUUCGAAUAAAAUAAUAGGUUUUUUUGUUUUUUUUCCAACCUUAUUUUAGUCACACUAGAUUAGUAAUGAAAUUUUGACUUAUUCUGAAAAUAAUUUCCCUUUUUAUUAAUAGUGUCUUUUUCUUCAGCAUUUGGACCUGUAGCUAGGCUGAAGCGGACUUUCAAACCCCUUAGGCCGGCCCUCACCGUCAUCAUUCAAUAUUUAGGCUGAAAACAUUGUAUGCUGCAUUAGUUUAUUUUGGAGAAAUCCCGAGACAUCCUUGGCUUAAAAAGACAACAAAAGCUAAAAGAAUGGGUGAUGAAUUUGGAUGACAUCCUAAUGCAGGGGCACACACGCAAUCCACCAGGGCAAACCAAUCUAUCUAGUGAUGUGAGCAACGAAAGAAUCCAACUCCUUGCGGGAAACCCCCCCUUCAUCCAUUGACCUCUGUAUUGUGGCUCCCAAUUCUGCUGCCCUCUUCCUCAUGUCAUCUCCUUCCUUUGAUGCCAUUAAACUUCUGACCUUCUUUUCAACAGUAGAUGCUGCCACUAGCUGCUCUCUUUGGGCCCAGUCCCUAACAACCAAGCCAACUUUAAGCACUUGCGCUACAAGCACAGUGUUCCUUGGCUGAUCUGAGUGCAUAGGCCAUGCUGCUAUGGGCACUCCCAUGCUAAUGCUCUCCAGGCAUGAGUUCCAUCCACAGUGACUCAUGAACCCACCUGUUGAACUGUGCCCCAAUAUCUCCAGUUGGGGUGCCCAAUCUCUCACCACUAAUCCCAUCCCUCUUCCUCCCACUCUCUCUUCAUACCCUUCUGGAAGUUCUGCUCUCCUGACCUCUCCACUGAAAACAUCUCCUUUAUCCGCAUCUCUCAAUACCCAGAUGAACUUUUGUUUGCUUUGCUCCAACCCAAUUGCAAGCUCUUUGAUUUGUUCGUCUGUUAAUGACGUCGUGGUUCCAAAAGAAACCAAUAGGACCGACUUUGGAGCCUGUUUGUCUAGCCACCCCAAGCAUCUGUGUCCAGGAUUUGAUUUUUUGUCAUAGCAUAUAGUCAACGGGUUGAAUGGCCCUAACGCCCAGUGCUUCUUCUUUCCACCAUAGAUCUCUAGACCGUCCAGUAAAUCGACAUAACAACCCUCCAUUGAUUUGCAUGUGUUGUAGAUAUUCCCGGAAUUGAGCUUCUUGAACUGAUGUUGAGAGGCGAUAAAAUUAAGGAACUCCAACGGGAAACAGCCAUCAAGAGAUGGAACAUCUUCAAGAAAUUUAGCCUCCUUAAGGACAGGUUUCCCCGCAGCCUCCCAGAGAAACAAGAAAAUAGAGAAGGCGGAGACACUAUGGAAAGUGUAGGAUUCAGCAUUACGUAUAGAGGCAACAUCCUGAAUCACGGAACCCAUAAGGGAGUCAUGAAUAACGAUGAUCCUCCUAGCUCUCGGAGAAAGUUCACGUAGGAGUGCAGCAACAGGCUGGCGAAGCUGUGAGGAUGCCUCAAAAGAUGACUCCAGAUGGGCUGGGAAUUGAACAGAGGAGUUAGGAUUAGGAGGAGGAGAGUGAAAGUGAGGCGUGGGGAAAUGAUGAAAUUGAAAGUUGGGGUGGAGAAGAGGGUCCCAACCCUGAACUCGAAGCUUGGCUUGGUGGGUGUGGGUGACAGAACCUACAUAGUGAACAGAUACGUUGUAGGAAGAGAUGAGACGAGAGAGUUGUAGGAGUUGGUUGAGAUGACCUUGUGCUGGAAAUGGCACCAUCACUACAGCCACUGGGGCUUCUUUCAUCUCACUUUCUUCAUGGUUUUGGUGAUUAUCCAUUCCCAGACUCGCAGAGGCUUGUGGCUGUUGAAUCACUAUGAGGUUUGAUCUGCCUCUUGCCCAGCUUUUAUAAACAAAAAAACAAACUUCCCUUGGAGAUAAAGAUGAUACUAUUUUCAAUGGAAUUUUCUCCUGUAUGACAAAGCAGUUAAUGACAUGCCACCGAUUAGUCUCCCAAUUUUGUAUCUAAUUAAUCAUCUGGUUCAUCACAUGUCAUGUGAAUUGUUUUUAUUAUUUUGCAAACUUACUAUUCUUCCUCUUCAAUAUUAACAUAAUUAUUAAAUUAAAGUAAUUAAAUAAAUAUUGAGAUUCGAGAUCUUAAAGGUUUGACCAUGGUAGUAAAGGGUUAUUUUCACAAAAAAGAAGAAGAGAAAGGACUCAUUGUUUGGGAUCUUGUAAGUUGUCUUGUUAUUUUGUAUGUAUGUUAUGUUGUUUUGUAUCUUGAUAUUAAUAUUUUAUAUUUUGAUCUCCUAAUUGGAUUGGGAAAUGGUCUAAAAUUUUCCUUAUCUUGUAGCAAAAUGAAAGCAGAGCUAUCCGUCCACCUUUCAUUUUUGUUCAUUUGGUAAGUAUAUAAUAUUUAUUUGGAUUUAGAAAUGGUAUAAUAAUCUUCAAAAUACCUAUUAUGGUGGGAAAAUUUCCUUGUAUAAUGUUAUAUACCAAAAAAUGAACGUCAAACCAUUUUAAAAUAGGUGAUUCCCAAUCAAGCCAAUCCAAUCUGCUUUCAAAAACCGAGGACAUGACAAAUCACUACCUCCCAAUUUGUUUUAUGCCACAUGUUGCCUAGUUUCUCUUUUCCCAAUCACACUUCCAUGAUAUCCCCCGUUAAGCCCAGUGGGUACGUUUCGUAAUAUAUAUAUGAAAAAAAUGAUCUAAAAAUUAGGAACCCAAAUACCCAUUUGGCCUUUCAAAAUACUGUUAGCAUUUUCUUAGUUACUCAAGGAAAGAAAGACGAAAACCCAAAAAAAAAAAAAAGGGGGGGGGGGGGGGGAAGGGGAAAAGAACCGCUUUAUGGUUCGACUUGUUUGGGACCUUUGAAAAGGGACUAAACCUUGUUAUUUGUAGCAGGCUACCGGCCACUCACACAUACACCACAAACUGAAGAUGAAAUAAUCAAAGAUAUUCACAAAUUUGGGUUUUGAUUGCAUGGGUUUAAGAUUUGAUGGAAACUGCUGAAUAGAUUGGUGCUUUCACAAUUAUUGUGUGGGUGAGUUUUUAUUUAUUUAAUAUCAAGUCCAUGUGCCCAUGUGGCCAUCUUAUCUGAUUCAGUAGGCAUAUAAAAAAAACCCAAAAUAUUUCAGUUUACCAUCUCUGGUAUCUUUGUUAGCAUUUUUGUUUUAAUCGCUUUUUCGGGUCAUAUCCAUUCAGGAUGGUUUAUUUGGCAUCUAUAUUCACUUUGCUAGCAUCUUUGUUUUAAUCACUUUUGGGUAAUAUCCAUUCAUUCAGGAUAGGUGUUAGCAUUUUUGUUUUAAUCACUUUUGGGUCAUAUCCAUUCAGUUUUUUCCUUCCUGUAAUAUUUUUUAUUUAUUUAUCAUUUUUGUAUUUUUUUUAACUAUUGUGUUAGUAAUGAAUGAUAAAAAUGAUGUUAUUAGCAAAUUUAUGUAAUUCUUGUAAUGGUAAGAGUUUUUUUCUUUUCUUUCUAUUAUAUUAAAAAGGAAACAUUGGAUGAGAAUGAGUCAUGGAGAAAGAUAAUGAAAUUUGAAAAUAGAGUUGUAUAUCUAAAAGACUUAAAAAUUGGUAAAUUGGUUAGGUGAGAUACUGAAAUGAAAAUGGAGGAAAAGCGAAGAGGGAAGGGCCCAAAGAAAGACUGGACCACCAUGUGUUGUCCAAGGAAAGGAGUGCUCAGGAGAUAAGUAGCAGCCAGCUCUGCCAGUUAUUCACUGCCCCACAAAUGCCAUGAAGUCUUUGGACAGUGACACAGUGUCCUCCCCUUUCCACACAAUUGACAUUCCAGUAAUCAGUCACCACCAAAAUUCCCUUUCUUUUUCUUUUUAAUUUCCUGAAUCUUGCUUCUUCUUUUCCCCCUCUCUGUCUUGCCUUGGAAUGAUAGAAAUUCCUACUCGUCCACUUAAUAAAUAGAGUCCCAAUGCACAUGAAGCCAAGUGCCUGGUUAACCUAAUCACCCACCAAAGCAACCAUUGUGAUUCACUUUAAAGCUUCACGCCUUCAACCUCUCCUCACAAUCAAAGACUAUCCACUUUGAAAAUAAUUUUCUAAUUCACCUGUUAUGUUUCCUUUUUAAGCAAUUUGUACUGCAAUUAUAUUGGUUUUUGAAAUAAAUUAAGUGUUUUUUUUAUAUUUUAUAAAAUAUUCUAAGUAAUUACUGAAAAUACAAAGAAUGUUUUUAAAACUUUUGCAUUAUAUGUAUGUAUACGAGUAUAAGGGCUUCUAAAAGACCCUGGUGAUUUUCUUUGCUGAUAAAUUUUUUAUUUAUUUUUAUAAUACUUUAUAAUAACUAAAAACAUCUUAAAUUUAUUUUAUCAAAAAAUUAUUGUGAAUAAAAAAUUUGUCAAACUUGUAUGCUAAAUUAGAAAUUAUUAUUUUUUCAUUAAAGAAUAAAAAAAAUAUUCUAAAAAUAACUAUCAAAUAGAUCAUGGAGAAUAAAUGAUAGGUUUGAAAUCAAUAAAUUUUGUUAGGUUUUUUUUUUAAUUUAUUUUUUCUAUAUAUAUAUAUAUAUAUAUAUACAUUGUAUUUUUUGUGGUAAAGAAAUUAAAAAGAAAUUGGUGAGAAAUUUUCAGGAAAAGAGAAGAUAAAUGAGUAAAUGAAAAAGAAGUAAAUCCAAACAGUUGACAUCAAGGUAGGAAUGGGGGGGAAGAAUCCUUGACUUGUAAAGCACGUUAGGAGAGCAGGCAAAGUGGGUUUACAGAUCACAUGCUCAUUGUCCAUUGUCUCCUCUUUGCCAUUUCUUGAACUCGUCCCUUUAACAUCCCAUCUUCCUUUUUCAUUUCUCUAAUCAAGGAAGGAGGAUAUUCUGAGCCUUCAGUCAUCAUUGGAAAGUGGAAACUACUUUUUAAAAUAUUUUUUUGUUUUUUUUUUUUAAAAAAAGAAAACAUAUUUCACAAUAACAAAAUAAAAAACACUUUUAUACUUUUUGGCUAAUAUUUUUAAUUAUUUUCACUUUUUUUUAAGCUUUAAAAAAUAACUAUAAAACUAGGAAGAAUAAUUAAAAUUAAAGUUUUAAAAUAAAAUUAUUUUUAAAAUAUAUUAAAAAAUCAUAAGAAGUAGUUAACAACAUCUCAAAUUAAUUUUUAUUUUACAAAACAUCAAUUAAUAGUUUUUAAAAAUUAUUUUUUAAAAUAUUUUUCAAAUGUGAAUGUGUUUGAAAAUAAUUAUUAUCAAUUUAAAAAAAAAUAAAAGUCUAUUUAAAAAUUCAAAUUUUAAAAUUAAUUUUUUAGAUUUAUUUUUUUCAUAAAAAUAUUAUAUAUUUAUAUAUUACAUAAAAGUUUUAAAAUAUUAUUUACUUAAAAUACUUCAAAAAUAAAUUAAAAAAUUUAAAUUUAUUAUAAAAAUUAUUAUUUUUCAGAAUAAUUUUUUUUUAAAAAAGUUGUGUUAUAUUUAAAAAAAACAAAAAAUUAUUUUCAAUAAUACUUUUCAAACACCCUACAUCUUAGAGGUAGUUGUUGAAAUGGGAGCAAACCCAUCAUUCAAUGGGUGAUGGUGGAGGAAGAAGAUUUACUAUAAAAAUAAGUAAAAAUUGUCUCCAUCUUGGUUUAGAGUCGGUGUUUCCUACUGGGCUGAGAGUGAGACCCACCAGUGAUGUGCUGUGUCGCCUAGUCCUGGAUUUGGGACAGGCCUAGCGAUAGUACAAAUGAGUUGUGUGUCUCAGUGCAUUUAAGUCAAAUGAUUGAUACCUUUCUUCAUUUUAUGCCAACUUAUCCAACAAAAGAUUCCAACCUUCACUUUCAGGCCACCCAACCACAAUAUCCAAACUAGAAGAGUACAAAUAAUGACACGUGGCAUCAUCUCAUUUGUGGUAUCUUUUAUUUGUAAUAAUCAAUAACUUAUAUCAUUCUACUUUUGAUAAAUUAAGACCUUUUCAAAAUAUAACUUGUUUUCAAAAUAAUUUUUUUAGAAACCUAUUUUUAAUUUAAAAAAAUGGUCAAAAACAUGCUUUUUGAAUUAGAAAACUGUUUUUAAAAGAAUAAUAAGAGAGAACUUAUAUGAACCACACUCGUAAAAAAUUAAAGGUUUAUUUCACAACAUUUUCAAAAAUAAUUUGUAAAAUUUAUUUUUUAAAAUAAUUAGAAAUAAAGUUUUUAGCAUAAAGAUUAGAUUUUUCAAACAUAUCCAUGAUGAAAAUACAUGUAAAUAGUUUUAGUAUUAAUAUUUUCUUUUAAAAAUAAAUUCCUUCUACAGCCUUAAGGGUGAUCCAUUAGGAACCCCGAAAAAUGUAUUUUCACUGCCUUGUUUUCUCUUUCUAUUAGGCUUCCCAUGGCUCCAAAAGUUGAAGUUUCUCUCCAUCUCCAGCCGUCAAAAGAGUUGAGGUUGUUGGAAAAAACCUCAACUUCAACAUUAAUGAUGAGUGAAAAAAGUUAAAUAAAAAAUAUAAGGAAGUAUUUGACAAGACAAAAUUUCAAGUCAAUAAUGAUGAGAUAUAUUUAACCUAAAUAUAAAUCAAAAUUUUUCUUUUUUAAUUUCCUUUGUUAUAUAUUAUAUAAGAAAAAAAUAAUUUUGUUAUGUAUUCUAUUUAUCAGCCAUUGAUGUAGAAAAUCAUUUUAUAAAAAGUGCUUCUACCCUGUUCAAAUCACUUUAAAAGUAGGUUACUGCCCACAGAGGAUGGUGGUGAAAUUAAGACCAAAAGUCAGUUGAUCCCAUUUCUGAACUCUAUGUUCUUACUUCUUUAGAAGUAGCAUAUUAAUAAUCAGAUACUUGUAAAACAUCUACUUAUUUUAGAGAAAUUCUUAGGCCUCCUUGCCUAAUACAGGGUGAGAGUUGAUCACAUUGUAAAAUGCCGCCAUCAGAAGCCAAGCUGUCUAGUGAUGUGAGCAAUGAAACCAUCCAACUCCUUGCGAGAAACCCCACCCUCUUCCAUUGACCUCUGUAGGGAGUUCCCUAGUUGUUGUGCUUUCUUCCUCAUAGCGUUUCCUUCCUCUGAUGCCAUGAGCCUUCUCACUGCCUUUUCAAUGGCAGAUGCUGCCACCAGCUGCUCCCUCUCUGCCCACUCCUUAACAGCCAGACCAACUUGGAGUACUUGUGUCACCAGAGCAGCGUUUCUUGGCUGAUCCGAGUGCAUGGGCCAUGCUGCUAUGGGCACUCCCAUGCUGAUGCUCUCCAGGCAUGAGUUCCAUCCACAAUGGCACAUCAAUCCACCCGUGGAGCUGUGCCCCAGUAUCUCCAGUUGGGGCGCCCACUCUCUCACCACCACCCCCAUUCCUGUCUCCUUCAUUCUCUCUUCAUACCCUUCUGGAAGUUCACUUCUCCUGACUUCUUCGCUGAAAAUAUCUCCUUUAUCCGCAUCUCUCAAUAACCAGAUGAACUUGUGCCCACUGCGCUCCAACCCAAUCGCCAGCUCCUUGAUCUGUUCAUCUGUCAGUGAAGUUGAGGUUCCAAAAGAAACCAAUAGGACAGACUUUGGAGCCUGUUUGUCAAGCCAUUCCAAGCAUUUGUCCCCAGGAUUUGAUGUUUUGUCACUGUAUGUGGUCACCAGGUUGAGUGGCCCUAAUGCCCAUCCCUUCUUUUUCACACCAUCAAUCUCCUCUUCCCGAAGUAUAUCCACAUAGGGGCCCUCUAUCAACUUGGAUGUGUAGUAGAGGUUCCCAGAGCUGAGCUUCUUAAACUCAUGCUGGAAAACCAAAAAUUUGAAGAACUCCAAUGUGAAGCAGCCGUCCAGAGAUGGAACAUCCUCUGGAAUUUUGACCCCCUCCAGCGCAGGUCUUCCCAGACUUUCCCAGAAGAAGAAGAAAAUGGAGAAAACGGAGACACUGUGAAAAGUGUAGGACUCAGCAUUACCAAUACCCACAAAAUCCUGAACCACAGAACCCAUGAGGGAGUCAUUAAUCACAAUGAGCCUGUCAACUGUAAGAGAAAGCUCACGUAGAAGCGCAGCAACAGGCUCACGAAGCUCUGAAGAUGCCUCAAAACAUGGCUGCAGAUGAGCAGGAAAUUGCACAGAGGCAUCAGGAUCAGGAGGAGGAGAGUGAAAGUGAGGAGUUGGGAAGUCAUGAAAAUGAAAAUUAGGCUCCAGAAGAGGGUCCCAACCCUGGAGUCUGAGCUUGGCUUGGUUGAUGUGGGUGGCAGAGCCCACAUAGUGGACUGGUAUGUUGUAGGAAGAGAUGAUGCGAGAGAGUUGCAGAAGUUGGUUUAGAUGGCCUUGCGCUGGAAAUGGCACCAUCACCACAGCCACAUGGGGGGCUUCUUUCACCCCAUUUUCCUCAUGGUUUUGCUGAUUUUGAUCUUCACCCAUUGUAAACUUGUAUAUGAUUAUUGCAAUGAAGCCUGAGCUUUUCAUAUAUAAGAAAAGAAAAUAAGGGUUGCAUUGGAGACAAGAGGAUACAUAACAUUUCCAUUGAUGCUCUUUUCCCCUUAGAUAAAUUAAGCAUUUAAUGAUUUGCCAACAGACUUUCUAUAUAUAUAUAUAUAUUUAUAUAUAUAUCAUUUAGUUUUUAAUUGAAUCAAAUUUUCAUACUCAUCUCAUGUUGUCAUUAGACAAAGUCUCGAAACUUCAACCCUCUCUCCUUUUUAACAUCAAAAUAAAUAGGAAGGGACAGUGUGUGAGCUCUUUCAUUUGGAAACAGCAAUGAAUGCCAUCCCCCUUUUACCUUUUCAUUUUUGUUGAUUUCAUAAAAUGGAAAAUAUAUAUAAAAUAGGAUACUGGCUUUAAAAUGUUGAAAAUUAUUAGUGUUUUACCCUACAAUCCAAACACUCCUAAGAAAAAUCAUUAAAUAUUUGGCCUUUAUAAUCCAUGUUUUUUUAAUACUGCAUUGUAUAAUUAAAAAAUGAUUUUUCGAGGAAUUAGUUGUAAUUUUAUUGUUUCAAAUUCACUUGGAAUAUUUUUUUUUAAUCUUAAAAGUGAUUUUUAAAGGUUUGAUAAAUUAAUAUCAUAUUUCUACAAGAAAUUGUUUUUAAUUAUUACAAGGCAUUUUUAAUCCCUUCAAAAUCAUUGUUUUUUCAACUUGAUAAAUUAAACCUGGUAAAACUUCUAUCAUUAAUCCAAUUGGGUGCCUUUGAAAAUGAUAGUAGAAACCGAUCUCAAAGAUCCACUUGACCUUUGAAAAAAAUAUAGGAUUUUUUUUUUUAGACAGGAAAACAAGGAGAAAAGAAGUGAUAUAUAAUUCAAUAGUAUUUUAAUUAAAAAUAUUUUAAAUAGAAACACCGUCAAACAGUAUAAUAUUAAGGUUAAUCCAUGAGUAAAAUCAAACAUUUGAUGAGCGUCAAGAUUGUAUAGGAAGAGAAGUUCCCAACUUUUAUAAAGAAUCGUGUAGACAUCAGGAAAGCUGUAAAUCUAAAAUAGGCAAUAUAGACGAUGUAGUUUGAGUGUGUGACGUGUGGGGGACAAACUGGGGCCCAACCACAACAUCAUUUCCAAGUGUUGACUAAGAACGACAGUCAGUAGCUUUGUCACAUGGUUGAUGAGAUAAGUAGCAGCAAGCUUUGCCACUUCCAAAAUAUUUCUUUUCUUGUCCACUCCAUGCAAUCUAACAUGAACAAAUGGGAGAGUGGCACACUCUUCUCCCAUUUCCAGUAGGCAUUCCCCGACCUUGACACCUGUGGAAUGACAAGAUUGCCAUGUCUGAAGAGACCAAGGCACUGUGGGAGCACUAAUGACACUCAACAUCAAGGAAGGUUACAAAACAAAAGAGGGCGUGCAGCUUCCACUUGAGCAAGUGUAGGGACGCCCAAAAUGGGCCAUGACCGAACUGGCCUAAUCCGAGCCAUACAAUUGCUCCUUUCUCAAAAACACGUAUCAUCAGAAAAGAGUAGAUCAUAAUAACUUGUUCCUCAAACAACCAAGUAGGUGUCAAGAUAAUGGCCGAUCUCUCUUCUUAGCUUGGGACUUCCACCCUGGGCCCACCGCCCACUGCAUCCAAAGGUUGUGUCAGGCGUGGAUGAAAAUGCCUGGAUAUUUUGUCGAAAUAUCGAUAGAGGUGGACACGCCGAUUAUCCGUUUGGAAAAAUUGGUAAAAUCAUCUAAAUAUUGUCGAUUUAUUGAUUUAUCGAUGAUUUCUCGACGCAACAUGUGCAUGUGGAAGGAAGAAAAUAGGUGAUUAAUCGCCAAGAAACCAGGCGAUUUAUCAGUGAUUUUUCAAAAAAGCCCAUUUUAAAACAAAUUUAUCCUAAUUUUUUUAAUUUAUAUUUUAUUUUAAAUUUAUAUUACCCUUUGUUUAUUUAUUUUUUAUUAUUUUUCAUAUUUAUUUCAUUAAUCCUAUUUUAAAAAAUUACCAUCACUUAACUUUUAUUUUUUUAUAUUUAUCCUUUUAAUUUUAUUCAAUUUUAAAUGUUUUUAUUUUAAAAUAUUAAAAAUAUAAAUUUAUUACAAAUUUGCUCAAAUAUAAAAAAUAAUAAUAAUAAAGUUCCAAUAUUUUAUAAAUUAAAAUUAAUUUGAUAAGAUAAAUUAUUAAUAUUAUUUUUAAUAAUUUUAAUUAUUUAAAUUAAUUAAUGUUUAUAGAAAAAAAUUAUCACUAUAAAUUUAUAAUAAAACUUUAAAAAUUAAAUCCCAAAUAGAAUAUUUUAUAUAAAUCGAUUUAAUUUUAUAUUUAAAAUGUAAUAAAAACAUGUUUUAAUAAAAGUAGUUUUUAAUUUUUAAAAUAAAUGAAUAUAAAUGUAUUAAAAGAAUUUAAACUAAUUUUUUCUGGAAAAAAUUUUUUUUGAUAAACACUAUCUUUCAAUGUACCUAUGUCAAUUACCAAAAUAACUUUAAUAUGUAUAUUUUUAUUUAUUUUAUGAUAGUGUUCUACUCAAACAUAUAUCCUUUUGGAUAUAAUAUAGGUACCAAUAUAUCCAUGUUUACUAAACACUUGGUGCCAGGACUAGUUUCCAAUUUCCGGGAAGCCAAACAAUGAUAUAAGUUUUGGGCCAGGUCUAAUGGCUGGGUAUAAAGAAAAGAUGGAGUUAGCAGCCCAAUAGCCAGCCCAUGGAGUGAGGGAUGCUCAGUUUCAAUGUGUUUGAUAGGGUUAUCCAACAUCAUGAGAUUUUGAUUAUGUUGCAGAAGAGUCCAAAAAUUUAAAAAUGGGAAAUGAAAAUUCACUGCUUCAAUUAUGAUGAAGUCCAUUCGCAGGCGUCUAAUAUCACCCCUUCUGAAAUUUUGGAGAAGACAAAAGGCAUAUUAACAUGGACGAAAGUUUGAGUAAACUGGAUAUUUUUUACAGGACCUUUUCCUCAGGGACCAACGGUUUUCCAUGUCCUACCAUGUUGAUAAUGUUCUCAAAGCAAACAUCAUAUUUUGUACACCUUAAAGUUCAUCCAGAUUGUCUACGGUAGAACAGGAAGUUCCACUCUGUUGAAGGAGAAGAAACUGACCCGUCCAUGCGAUACAUGGAAAAACUUGAAAGGUAUGCUACCACACCGUCUCUCAAGGUCUUCAAUCUCUGUUUUCAAUGGCGGAUGACCCCUAUGUCAGAAAACAAAACAGUUCAGUUUUUAGAACAUGUCAACAAUAAGCAACCAAAAGCAUACAAGGGAGAAGAAAUGAAGCAUUAGAAAAUGAAAAGACUGAAUUCUAAUGACCAUUAAAUGAUAGUUAUGGCCUAAUCCAGAGGUGUUUUCUUCAAGAGCAAACACUUCUUUUUAGUUAUAAACCAAAAGAAUGGUAACAUUCCAAAUUUCCCCAUUUUAACAGAGCUAAAGAUGUUAUAAAAUGUCAGCGAACAAGCCUAUGGUGCUCCAGAGAAGUCAUAAUCAACAUAAGAGCACAAAACGAGCAGUAAAGCAUAGCACAACCUUAGGCAUGAAGAUUUUUUUUUUUAUAUAUAAAAAAAGUUAUUUGGUUGAUUAUUAUUAUGCAACAGCCCCUGCUUCUUUCAGACUACUUUAACCUAUCAAAAUAUUAACCAAACAGGGCAGUCCAGGUGACACCAAUACGAGUUCUGUGUAACUAACUAGGACCAUAAUUGAUCUUUUCUUUCCUACAUCUCCCAAAUCUUGGAAAACAGAAUUUGAAACUACUGAGUGAAGAUUUGUCAUUUCCAAGUUUUCACCGCUUUUGCUAUGCAAAUAAUUUCUGUGAAAUAGAGGGAAAGCAUAGCAAGAAUCUUGCUUCAAAUACAAACAUUUAGCAUAAGGAGCAUGCUUCUCUUCAUGCUGGAAGAAUUCAUCACCCCUUAAAAGAUUUUAAUGAUGGGAACUGUCCCCUUGCAAAUUUUUAAGAACAUUUCCACAAAAUUAAUGGAAAUGACAUUUUAAUAAAGAAACAUGGAUAUGAAUAUCCAAUUAAUCACCACUCAAAUAGCCCACUAAAAAUAAUUUCCUUAUAGGAAGUAGUAAACCUUCAGUAAUACUAGGAGUUAAAAUGUACUUUGAUGUAUCACAACUAUGAAAAGCUAUGACAAGCAUGACUUCCACUUCCAAUAAAAUUCAGCAUUUAUAGAUAUCUUGACAUAUAAUUUUGUCUUAAACCACACAACAUUUGGGAAAAAAACUCUACGCAUUUGUCAAGAACACAACUUAAACAUGCCUCCUGAGAAAAAAACAUCAUAGCUACAUCUAACAUAAGCGAAAAUUUGAACAUAACCUAGCAAAAAAUGUUUGUCACAGAAAACUUAAUGAAAUACGGUUUACCUGGUUAAGCAGAGCACAAAACUUGGAUCUCCUGGAGAAGACUUCCUAAACUUGCUAUUAGGAAGAUAGACAUCAAAAAGCAGUUUAACUUCAGUAAUGUGCAUAUUAUUGACCAGUUCUAUGGUGGAAUUUUCUUCUUCUGAUCCUUCAUCUGUUCUACUGUUGCCUUCCGGGGUGCCUUGAUGGGAAUCCAAACAAGUUUUGGCACCCUUCGAAGUCCAAGGGAUCCCAUGCCGCCCAACAAUGUAACCAAGAGACUUCAAGUGCCUAUAAGCCUCAAAAGACUCCCAACAACAUCCACACUUCCCUUGUGAAACCUUAUCAUAUAUACCUUUUAAGGAAAUAGGCACAUCAUUAUCAUCCAAUAGAUGCAAUGCCCCUAGUUCAGCCAAAAACCUACACAAAAAGCUUUAGACACAUUACUAACAAAAAAGGGUAUAACUAACAAGUACUUCUUAGUCUUCUCCCCAAAGAUCACACAUGUGAAUAAUUUGUUGUAUGCCUAUAGAAAAAUUUAGUUCUCCUUAAAAACUACAUGAAAGGUUAAAAUCAAUGUCUUUUUUUUUAUUGUAUAUUUCUCGAAUACUACUACGUAAGAAAGAUACAAUCAAAAGUUGACUUUAAGUUAAAUUAUACUUAAGUUGUUAACUUAAAACUUACUAUUUAAUUUUACUUUUAAGUAUUAAAAUUGUUUGAUAAAAUUAACUUAAGAUUUAUUCUAAAUCAUCAAAUUAACAUAUUUAUCUUCAUAAAUUAUAACUAGUGCAAAGGAGCUCGAGUAAUAAUGGAGGUGGUGGAAUAGUAAAUGAGAUCAUAGAGUUAACCAAGGCAAAUAGGGGUAAAAGAGUAAAAUGAAAAUGUGGAGUUGAGAAUAAGUUAAUUGUUUUUACUUAUUACUUAAAGUUGUUUUUUACUUUAAUUCAUACCAUUAAGUUAUUUUACCAAACAUACUUAGUUUACUUAUUAACUUAAAUUAAGUUAUUAAGUUAAUUAGUUUAAGUUAUUAAGUUGGUUUACCAAACACCCACUUAGUCAAAGACUUUUUGUUAGGCUAUAGACUUUGGAGGCUAGACAAAGUAAGAAGGUUUGGUGUUCAACUCCCCUUUGCUUGUUUUGGCACAUUUUGAGAGAGCAAAACAAUCAUGUUUUUAAUAGGGAAGAGAUUUCAAAUUAAAAUUUAAAGGAGUUUCUAGUUAUGUUCCUUUGAGAAUGGUCUCUUUAGCUAUGAAAAUUUUACAUUGAUGAAAUUCAUUAACAAUGUUAACUGUAUAUGGUUAGGUCACUUGGUUUUCCCUUUUUUUUUGGUGCCCCUGUGUAUAACCCCUUGUGUACAUGGGAUGUGACUCCUUGUUUGUCGCCUUUAAUCAGAUUCUGCUUGUCUGUCAAAAAAAUACUUCUUAAGUACUAAUAGGUUCAACUCCAACACAUUCUGGAAUAAACUUCAAGUUUUGCUGAAACCGGCUAAUUUAGACAACAUAAUAAAUGGAAAUUUUGCUAAGUUAAAUUUUUUUUUUUUGAUAGGUGAAAUUUUGCUAAGUUAAAUUACGCAUUGCUUAGUGUUUACGUUACUCCUUUGCUUACUCUUUCUGUUGCUUUUCUUUUUCCUCUGUCAAGGCACCAAAGAAAAUUGGGGUGCAAAACAACAAAAUUACAAAGAAAAUAGAACCAUUUUCAGCUCUCAUUGUGCGUUAAAAAGGAAUUACAUGAGAUAUAAAUAUUAGCAAUCUUGUAAGUAAUUAUAUCAUACUCAAAAUAUUAGCAAUCGUUCACAAUGUUUAAUGUGUCUAAUGGUGACUAUUUGACCAACUUUAAAUCCAUCAAUAAAUCCUCCACUUGACCAUCCUUUACAUGGUAGCACAACAAUAUAGUCAUAAGUCUAAAACUGUGGUUGCACAGCUGUCUAGGCCAUCUAAGGUUUUUUUUCUAGCUCCUAUAUGGAAGACUCACAAUAGCAUCCUUUUCAUAAAGGUAAACAUAUUAAAUCAAAAGCUCGCUCAAUUACUCAUAUUGGGUUUGUGGAAGUUGCAUUAUCACAUGUCAAGUGAUAUAAAGAAUGGCAAAGGAACAAACAAUAAAAAAAAUUAUGAGAAAACAACAAUUAAAAUCAAAGUCUGCAAAUCUCAUACAGAGUCUCCUCAAUUGAGCAAUAGAUCUUGCCGCUAUGAAGCAUUCCUGUUGUUGUCCACAUUUUGCCCUUCAUUUCUACAACCUCAGCCAUUCUCAUUGCAUCAUUCCAAAUUGCCUUGGAAACAUCUUUCCUGAGAAAAAUACACACAAUUAGGUUGUAAAGUGCCCAUUUUGAAACUUGAUGGGAGUUAUUGUUCUAAAAAUCUACCUAAAUUGUAACUUGGAUAUGGAACUAGAAGUAUAGUAAUGUUCUUCUUCAUCAUUGGCAUCUUGAAGAUAGAUUUCAGAAUCACUAGCUCCAUCCUCCAUUAUAUCAAUUGCUGAUAAAAAUCACAGUUCAAUUUUAGAAAUCCAGUUGUCUAAACAAGCAACAAGAAAAAGAAAGGAAAAUAAAAAACAAUAUAAGAAGUCACUGCACCAAUAGUUUUGGUCAAACUUGCAGAAUUUUAAUAUUGAAAAACUUUUUCUUUAAAAAGAAAACAGAAAAAGAAAUGAGAAAAGAUUCUGUACCCUUGUUCUGCAUGAGUAGUGACACACUUUUCUUCUUUCUCCUCCAAUAAGGAUUAAAGCUUUGCAUUGAAUUGAAAUUCUUCCAAAUGAGCAGUUGUCUUGUCAUUGUGACUUAUAACUUCAUCAUCAAACCUAUCUAUGACUCAUCCAACGAUGGGCUUGUGUGUUAAUCUGAUACUCCAUCAAAUCUUUUAAUCUCCAUGUCACCAAAUUUUUUAAUUUUACUUCCUUAUCCAGAGAUGAUUUCUAAGUUCCCACUCAAGCUUCUUCUAUUCCACUUCAGAGAUUAUUUGUAAAAUAAAAAUAUUAUUCUAAAAAAUUUUUAAUGCAAGAUAUUGGAUUAUUCUUUCCUGUGCCAAUAAUCUCAUCAUGUAUAAUAUAUAAUAACACUAAUUUACCUUUUUUUCUGCAACCAAUCCCAUUUACUAGAAGAUAUGAUAACUCAAUCUCAAAGAUGGGAAAGUUCACAAAUAAUGACACUUAUUCACUUUAAUUUAUCAUUUUAAAAUUCUAAAAUAUAUAAUUUUACUUCCUCGUACCCCUCAUUUUAAAGAAUAGUAUAGGAAUGAAUCAUAAAUCCUUGUAUCAUUCCACAUAUCGUCUGAGAAAAAAGAGAGGCACAAAUGAUGAACAUGUUCCCAAGACCCUCUAAGCCAAAUCCAAAAUUGCAUUCCUUAUCAUCACUUUGCCCUUCUCCCAAUGAUACAAUGAUCUAGUGGAUCGUACCUCAAUUGAUCCUCUCCAUAGAAAAACAGCCUUAGCCGACUCUAAAUCAUCUCUUGCAAGAAGUUCAAAUAUCACAACCAUCUUUAUCAUCGUACGACUUACUAGAAAGGUAAAUCUUGAAAAACAGAAACUAUUGAAAUCCCAUACCUCCAGAUUUGGCUGAGAGUUGCGUUUGCUGCAUGCGCCGCACUGACUGCAAUUCGCUUGAAAAAACCCUAAUUGAAGAAUUUAUGAAAGGGACGACAGGAGAAGUGGGUCAUGUGAAAUGAACCGUAUCUACUGAAUGGCGCCCCAAUAGGCUUGGCCCAAUACUCAAUGGUUUCGGCCUGAUAAGGUUAAAAAGCAGGUUAUGUUUGUUUGGUUAUUUUUAUAUUGAAUUUAUGAUUCUAUUUACAUAAUACCUUUUAAUCUAUUUCCUUUCCUUAAGAAGUUGUAAAGAUUUUGUGUAUUUUAUGAUCUAAGAAAUUAUCUUUUACUACUUUUUAAUGAUAUGGAUAUUAUUUUUAUUAUUAUAAGUCAUAUUUUAUAUCAUCUUCCAUAUUAUCUUUGAGUGUGAAAUUUGAAUUAUUUUUAAGGUAUUUGUUUGGUUCCAUAUUAUCUCCCAAACUAAUUUCUUUCGAACCGAGGAAGUGGUGUGACCGGGCCCAAAGGAAAAGUGAGGCAAUUGGGCCAUGAUUCAUGAAAGAAGAAUUCAAAAAUAGAAAGUUGGGUAAUGAAUGCAAAGACUGGACCAGCCAAAGUGAACUACUCCACUAGUCUGCAAAAGCCACGUAAGGAUAAGAAUGGAGGACUUCUUUUAAUGGGGGAAUCACGUUACCAUACGCAACCCCAAAAAAUUUGAGCUUUUCAAACUUUGUUUUCUGACUUUUUAAUUUAAGUGUAGAAUGAAAAACCAAAUUACAAUUUUAUACACUCAAACAAUAACUCUAAAUUUCUUUACAAAAUUACCCUGCCGCCUCGUCCACCACACCAAAAUCUGUUGAAACCUCACCGGCGUCUUCUUUACAAUUCAUCAAUUUAAUAAAGAAAGGCUGAUUUGCAUUCCAAGCGCUUUCAAAAAACACAAAAGUUCAAUAACAAGCAAUAACAUCACGUUAUAUUCUAAGUAAUCACAUAUUCAGUCAAUUUAAUUUAAUACAAUCUCAACACAACGAGUAAAAGACAAUGUUCAAUCAUAAACUUUAAUUUAAAUAAAUGGUGAAGAAAAUGUUCAAUGUAUUUUAUAGACAGGAGAAAUAAACACAGUUUUGAAGGACUAAAGAACUACUUACUCUUAGUAGCAAAGGGAUGUGUCAAAUGUUUGGAACAUCAUAGAGAGUUAUGAUGUUUUCUGCCUGAAAAUAAGUGAUUUAAUUUAGUUAUCUAGCAUUAAAAAAUUAGUAACAAACUAUUUGGAAAAAACCAAUACGAAGAUCAGCAUCUUGAUUAUGGUACCGACACAUGACAAAAUUGAGAAAGUUUGGCACAUCAGUCGCCACCGGUGAGAGGCAGCAAGAGCAGUGGGUCGCUGGUAGUGGUGGCGGUGGUGUUGUGGAAAGGGAAGGAAAGAGAGAGAAAAAGAGGGAAGGAAAUGGAGAGAGGGGAGAUUGCCGACCGGAGAGAGGUGUGAAUGACGGCCAGUUGCAGUGGAGAGGGAGGGAGAAGCAGAUGGUGGGUAUGGGAGAAAAAACAAAAGGAUAAUUUUGGAAAUUCACUAUUUGAGUGUAUGAAAGGGGUUAUUUCUUUUCUAUCUUACACUUAAAUUGAAAAGUCAAAAAAAAAUUUGGGAUUGGUUUAUGGUAACAUGAUUUUCCUUUUUUUAAUUUUUUUGUCUCCUUCACAGCUUACAAAGGGAAUCAUUUCACGUGGCCCUCCUCUAAAGUCUCACUCGCUCUGUAAUAAAUUCCAAGAAGAUUAGGGUUUCAUGGAAAUAUCUCAAGCGAAUCAGGCUCAGUGUGGCCGAUGCAGCAAACUCUCAAAUCUCUAUAUCCGGAGGUAUGGAAUCUCAAAACUCCUGUUUUUUGAGCUUUAGUUCUGGAUUAUGUCAUGUGAUGCUUAAGAUGGCUGUGAGAUUUGAACGACUUGUAACUCAAGGAGAUGAUGCAGAGUUGGGUAAGGCUGCUUUUCUGUUGGGAGGAGGGCAAGAUAACGAUACCGAACGUGAGUUAUGAUUGUUAAUUGGCUUAGGAGGUCUUGGGAAUAUAUGUUUUUUCCGUGCAUCUCUUUUUUCUUAGAUGAUGUAUGGAAUGAAAUUAGGGUUUAUAUUUCCUUCCAUCGUUAUUAGGUUAAAAGAAGGGCACAAGGAAGUAAAAUUAUAUUUUUUAAAGUUUUAAAAUGAUAAAAACGAACAAAAAAGUUUUUCUUUUAACGAAAUUUUUCUACUUUAAAAUUAAGUUACUAUAUCUUUUAGCAAAUGCGGGUAAUGACAGAUAAAAGAUUGUUUGUCUUAGAUGAUGUAUGGAAUAUAUUUCAUCCUAUCGGCACAAGGAAGUAAAAUUAAGAUAGAACAAUGAGUGAUAAAGUUAUCAGGAGAAGAAUGGAAGAUAGAUUUGUUUGAGUUAGGAACAUAAACAUGGAUUUGCUCGAAUUGUUUGUGAUAAUGAGAAGACAGUGAAAAUAUGAGAGUGAGGAUUAUUGGCUUGCUUCUCUAGAUUAAUGACCAGACUGGACUUGAUCUACGAACUAAACUCGUAUUCAAGCUGUUGCUACUCAAAGACUCGUGUCCUGGGGAACUUCAAUGCAAAGAUAAAAGGUGAUUGUGGGACUCAUGACCUGGGAGGCUUGAAUGCAAGAUAGAGAUGAUGCAAGAUAAAGAUAAUUGUGAGUAGUGUUGUUGGAAUGAAAAUUCAUUUGUAACAAAUCAUCUGUUUUGUGAUGUAAUGUUGUUAAAACAAUUUCAAUUUCCAUUCUCUUGUUGCAAUGACAAUUCCUUUGCAAUAACUAGCACUUUUCUUUGAAAUUCCGUCAGUUUUAACAUCCCAUUCACAUAUAUACAUACAUUCAUGCUUUUCUCGACCCUGGGGUUCUUUCAUAGCCAAUGCUUUAAAAUUUGUUUUAUUACAGAAUCCACUUUCUGGUAGAAGGAUAGAAUUUAAUCAUGAACAAGUGAAACGAGUUUGCUCACUAUUGCAGCAGGUGUUGUAAGAAAGAACCGAAAACAAGUUCUCUCUUUUCUAAUAUGGUAAUCAACUUUAAAAAAGGGAAAUAAGUAAAAAUCUUGAUAGCAAGAUGCUCAUAUUAACAAUGGCAGCCCACUGCAACUCAUAGUAUGAAAAAUAAGUCCCGCAAAACAUUAAUUUCUUUCUCCUAUUAUCAAACAAACAAAACAGCAGUCAUGAUUCAUGAAAGCCUGGUCUUACUGUUUUUGUACAAAAUGUAUCUGUGAUGCCGUCAACACCGAAGGACCAUGUCAUUUUACAUCUCCAGAAUGCAGGUAUCUCAAACUGCCACAUUUUGUUGCUUGACUAAGGAAGUGGCAUCUCAAACUACCUAUCCUUUGUUCGUUCACAACGUUCGAGCAACCUUUUCGUACAAAUCACGAGGCCAGUUCCUAUUCAAAUUGUUUGCGAGAAAAUUGGCAAUCUGCAAAGGUCAGAAGGAUGCAUCCAUCAAAAACCGAGAAAAACACCGUGUUAAGAAGCAUGCUACAUUUUGUUGUUGCACCAUGCCUAGGUUACCUUGAUUUUCACCCAAUCAACCUUGGUCAGAUCCCAAACACAUCAUCCAUCAAUUACUCACUAACUAGACUUGUUACUAGGCUACAGAUUUACUUGAGAAAACCAUCAAAAUCCCAUGGACCAAAUUGAGGAAACCCUCGUAUAGCAAGAAAAGAAGAGACUAGACAUACAUGGAUGGUUCUAUCAACUCAGGGUAUCAGCAUGAAACUGACCACAACCCACAAAUAUUUGCUAAAAGAUCAUUUUCAAAAUUUCACAUUACCAAGAAAAUUAUUUAAAGAGCCACUAAUCCAUGAAUGUGAGAUCAAAUCCAAAGGCUUAACCAACUUAUUGAAACAGGACAUCUAUAAACAAUAAAUAAACUACCUAAAAGGGCAACAUGAAUGGAAUUACCUGGGGCAAUCACAAACUCUGCUAUGUGCCUGUAAAACUAAAGGUGCUAUUGCUUUAUAAAUUUAUUUUAUUUUUAAUUAAGUCUUAAACCUUUUAGAUAAAGCAAGCUCAAUCCAGCAGAAUUAUGGUCGGUUUCACGCAAGGCAUAAAAAAUGUAAACCAACAGUCACCAGGGUUAGUAUGAAACUAACUAUAUCACAUUCAAUCUCAAGGCAUACACAAAUUAGUUUACAUAAAUACACCAAAAAUUUGCAUUUCAAAUAACACACCCUACCAAUGCUACCAAUGCCAAGAAAUUCUAAAGGGCUUUCAGGAGGAAGGGCAUAUAAUUUGGAUAUUUAAAAUAUGAGGAAUAUCAAAAUUCAGUAUUUUUUUUAACAUACCUUAGUCCUCAAGGCCCGAAGUGAUCCAUCAGUAUCCGUCACAUAGUCCAGACAACUGAGAGCAAUCUUCAGAAGGUCAGGCACACAAGCUUGGACAUGGGGAGAUAAAUUCUGAAACACAUCAGGUGUGGUAUCUGGCGCUCGUGGAUCAAGUGGAAGAAAUGGAAGUUUAGCAACCUCCCUCAGGGCAUCUAGAUAAUGGCCCACUCUCGCCAACUUAUGGAUAGACAAUAUUGCCUCAAGCUCUCUUAGUACAGUCUGUUGCUCCAUAACAUGUUCCCUCUCUUGAAGACUGCACAUUGAGUUCAAGUGAUUAUAAGUAUAUAAUAAAGUAGCUCGUGCCCACGAUGGGCGGGCUCCCUUUACUCAUCAAAAAAAAUAAGUUUAUAAUAACGUACUGAGACAAGUUAUGAAAUUUAAACCUUGAUAUCCAUAAAAAAAGAAAGCCGACAUCCAAGUUAGUGCUUAAUCAAAGGAUGAUAUGGUUCAGAAUCCUCUGAAAAAUUCAUAUUUCUAAAAAAUAACCGUGUUAACUAUGUCAUUCUCAAUUCACUUAGAAAUUAUUUCACCACAUGAAAGCAUUGCAAACUCAAACUAGCAGUCAUAAUAUGAUGGAGUAGUCAGGAAGCCAACAAUAACAAUAAAACUAACCAGCAUAAGAACAAUAGUUCUUAUUUUAAAAAAUGAACAUGACAUACACUCAAGAAAUUCAGUCCAAGAAUUUUUUUUCAAAAUUCUCACCAGUGAGAAUGAAUUUGAGCCAAGGGAACAGAUAAACAGAAUCCUGUGGUGUUCAUAAUUCUCUGGAGAACUUCGAAAUGAAUAUGAUAUACACUCAAUAGAUUCAGGACAUUCAUGAAUACAUAAAAGCAUGUGACAAACUGAGUUAUGCAUGUGCUCAAUAGAACACUCGUAUGUAAUCUGCACUUCAACAAGUCGGAGAAUUUUGUCAGUCUACAUAAAAUAUGGGAGUACUAGCAUUUUGCUGGAAUUCACACUUGCUUCACACGAUAGACUUUUAUGGUACACCUCUCAGUUUUUAAGAUCCUCUUUUCACACAACAGUUUAUAUUUUGGGCUGAACCUUUGGAAAGACAUUAGAAAAGGGUGGGAAAAGUUCAUUCUUAGAACUAGUAUCCGUAUUGGAAAUGGUAGACACACAAGUUUUUUGGUGGGAUAAUUGGGUUGGGGAUUCUAAGUUGAAGGAUGUUUUUCCUUCUCUAUUCAGGAUUGCAGCCCACAAAUUUGCUAUAGUGGCAGACCUUUGGGGGAGGCAAGGGGGUGGAGGCGGUUGUUGGGAGGUGGAUUUUAGAAGAUCUUUCCAAGAUUGGAAAUUAGAGGAGGCGACUCGUUUUUUAGAACAUAUUUCUGUGCAAAAAGUUGAAGAAGGGGAGGAUUCUUUGGCUUGGAAGAAUGAUGGAAGGGGAAAGUUUAGUGUCAAAUCAUAUUAUUAGUCGUUACGGGAUGAAAGCAAUAUUUUAUUCCCUGCCAAUGAGAUCUGGGAUUCGUGUGCUCCUCUUAGAAGUUGUUUUUUUGUUUGGAAAGCAGUUUGGGGAAAAAUCUUAACAGUAGACACAUUAAUGAAGAGGGGAUGGUCCAUGGUCAAUAGGUGCAGCAGCCUUUGUAAAGAUAGUGAAUAAUCAGCUAACCACAUUUUGAUUCAUUGCGACAAGACAAGAAUGUUUUGGAUUGUGUUGUUAACUUCUUUCAAACUGGUAUGGGUGUUCCUGGAUUCAGUGAGAAAUCUUCUUCUAAAAUGGAAAGUUAAGGGGCUGAGGAAGAAGAAAAGAGUAGUGUGGAGACUGGCUUCGAUGUGUCUUUUUUGGUAUAUUUGGGGAGAAUGAAAUCGAAGGACUUUUCAGGAGUAAAAGAUGUCUGACCAAAGUCUGACAAAGCUCUUUACCCGUUCACUAUUAGAGUGGUCUCAGUAGGUUCUAGCAUUAGACAAUCCCUCUUUUUUUGAAAUUUUGGGUGUCCUUAAUGGAGACUAGACCUCCUAUUGUAGGUCUUGUUUCUCCUUUCUAGAGCCUGGUUGGGUUUUGUUUGUAUACUGCCUGUAUACAUGGAGUGCACCCCUGUUUUUGGCUGUUUAUUGUUCAAUUUGCCUUUGUCUAUCAGAAAAAAAAAAGGUUUUAAUAUGCAUCAUAAAUUUGGUAGAAGCAAAAUUGGCACCAAAUAAUUUAAUGAAAUGGUGAAGUAUAGAAUUGACCUGACUUCAGGAAAAUAUUUGUAUGUCUCCAGGAUCUCAUUGCCAGACUGAAUUAGCCCAGCAGUUCGGCUCUCACCAUCCAAUCUACCACGAGCCAAAGCACAAACUGCUUCAGAGAGGCACUUAUUAAUUGUAUCCAACGCCAUUGAAAAUGCCCCAAUUCUCUUCUGAAUUUCUAUAGACUGUAAUUUAGUGGUAAAAUUAAGAGGUGAAUUCAUCAGACUAGACACAAAAUAAUGAACAAGAUGACAAAGAAUAGUUGAAGCAAAGAUGAAUGUUUAUAAGAUGCAAACUUGGAAAAUAAAACCAUUUCGUAAAACCCUAAAUCUCUGCCUUGCUCCCGCUCAACCAAAUAAAUAAUGAAGACAAAAAGAAAGAAAUAAUGUUGGGGAUAGGGGAGAAGAAAGAAACAAACCCGCUGAAUGUUUGACUUUCAAGCUAAUAGUGGAAUCCCAAAGAAGAAAUAGCCAAGGUUUUUUGAACGAGAGUCGGAUCAACAAAUGAGGCAUUAUAAAAAGUGAUGAUAAAAUAAGCCAUAAAAUUCAUGUAGCACAAUAUAUCCCUUAAUUAAUAGAUAAUCCAGUAUAAAACAUCUCAAACAUCACAAUCAAGCAAGCUAUGUAGGAUGUGAUUUUACACGGAUCAACAAACUGGGAAUGCCAAAAGUUUAAAAUAGAGUAACCAGCCAAGGAGAAUCUUGAAAUUUUGAAAGAACUUUUUUCCUUUAUGAUUCCCAGGUGUUAUGUAAUUAUAAUUCUAAUUAUAAUACUCAUAAUUGUUUACGAGUAUAAUUAUCUUCAUUACUCUUACCAUUUUUCUAAAUUGGAACAAGACAAUGCAAUCAUUCUACUCAUCCCUAUCGGCAACAUGCCAAAUAGCACAACUUGGGCAUGGUGAAGCUCAUACAAGUUCCCACUGUACUUGUAUAGAACUCUGGAAAAAAGUAAAAAGUUAAAAAAUGGAGGAGCAGAAGAAGUAUUACUUGAUCAUACAGCCCAGCAUCCUGACACUGGCGAGAAGCUUCAAGCAGAAAUUGCUGUCUUGCUUUUACAUCAGUCAGAAAACGAGCCAGUUCACCUUCUUCUCCAGCACCUCUCGGACCAAGUAAAAGAUAAAUCCCACCAUCCCUUAAUAACAGUUCAGUGAGGAGUUGCUUCAGCAUCAGAUUUCUCUGCCAUUGCUGAUCUAUAUUGCCCCUUCCAGUCCAUGACAACUGUCCACCUCCCACUGCAGCAGCAGCUUGUGCAUAAUAUUCUAAUGCUGUUGAAAGAUCACCAGCACGUAAAUACACUGAUCCGUACUGCCGGAUUAUGCUAGAUGCCUCUGCAAAAGCAUCCAUCACCCCCAAUUUCUGUCCUACCCCAGCACCUUCUGAAAGGACCCCAUGGUCUGCUAGAACAAUUGAUAUAUGGGUAGCAUCAACAUUAUACCCUUCAACUCCCAUUUCCUUAGACAAGUAUAGGACUGCUGGUAGCAACUGGAUACUUAGAAGUAAAACAUAUGGAUAUACCAGAGGGUCCUUUCCAUUUUUUGUAUAAUAUGAUGGCUCAAAUUUAUUUAGGUAAUUCUGCAAAUCAUCCAAACUGUAUGGUACCAAGCCCUCAUUCAGGACAACAGAUGAGGAUCCACCUGGACAGUCCCGCACAGCUGACAAUUUGAACCACAAGAAAUCCUCUAUGGUAUUGAAAAGAGUUGGAAGAUCUCUGAGCAAGCGAUCAAUAUGCCUGCGAGAACCAGAUAUGAUAGCAUAAAGCAGCAACCUUUUUUUGUCAUAUGCUGCACGACCCACACGAUCGCCCAUUCUUAACAUUUUAUCGCAUUCCUCUGAAGCAACUGCUGCAAUCUCUGCUGAUACCAUACCUCUUGUAGUAAUCCAUUCUGUGAGCUGUCAAGAAGGGCAAAAAUGACUAAGAUCAAAUAAAGACUCCCAUGUAUAAAGUACAACCAAUAAAUAAUCAAUACCUGAGAAGCAAACUGAUUUGAAACACGAGAUGAUCUGGCAACCUCUAUUGCUUCCUCGUAAUACCCAGUCCUCAAGCAAAAAUAAAUCUGUUGUUUCAAAGUAGAAAUAGGAGUCAGAUGGAAUGGGCACUAUUUCCAAAAACAUAAUUAGAUAUUGAAGGCUACAAGUAGAUUUAAUAUGUGAACAACAUAAUAAAUAAAAGAAAUAAAUUAAGUGAUUUUUCCAUUCUAUAUGAACUUGUGAUUUCAAAUGGCAUUCAUCUUGCUUGCUUACAAUCAUUUGCAUGAAAAGCAACUGAAAGGUAUUCUAAUUCUCUUCCAUACUUCCUCUAGUCAUUAUUACAAAACCCUAAGAAACAAAAGAAAACAAAGAGAGAGAGAGAGUGGACUCGUAAAAAAGUGUACCAGGCCCACACAAAAGCAGAUAAAGAAAAAAGACCAACUUAAUCAACCAUACACAUGCCCUAAAUUAAUAAUCCAGUCCCCCCAUUAAUUCAGGAUAUCCACAAAAAUUUGAAGUUACAGUUUCUAUAAAGAGUAUAGAUUCACCCAGCUCACCCAUUUGACACACAAUGGGUGUAGGAGUGGUGACCUUAUUAGAUACUCCCUACUUUGAUUCAGAUAUGGCUGUUUGAUUUUGAUUGAUUUUUUUUUUCCUACCUGUUUAACUGAUAAUUACCUUAGAAAGGGUAAAAAAUUGCUGGAAAAUAAAUUUCCAAAAAAAUAUUUAAGGAUAAGAAAGAAAAGACGGAUAAAAUAGAAAAGACAGGAGUUCUUAUCAAUUAUAUUUUUGCUUUUGAUUGAUCACUAAUUAAAUUUUUCUUUCUUUUUUUUUCCCCUUCUAUUAUGCCACAUCCAAAUGUUCACCCAUUAUUGAGAUCCUAUAUUCAAGUCGUGGGUGUGAAGAACUAGACAUCUAGACACAUACUUGUACCUGAAACCGGGACUCAAACCCGUACAACAUAACUCAAACAUGGUACAACUUUUAGAGAUUAUGCAAAUUUUCUCAAUUGAAGCUUUCAGAUACCACAUUGAUUUAAACUUGUCAGCUAACAUGGAAUCUGAGGGUACAACAUAAUUUGAGCAAUCAAAGCAAGAGAAUAUAAGAUGAAGUAGCAUGUUAACUAGCUAAAUCACCAAGGACAGGAUUGAUGAAUCAUCAUUUCUUGCAUGUGCACAUCAAAAUCAAAGGCUUCCAGAUACAACAUUGAUUUCAACUUGUGAGCUACCAUGUAAUCUGAGACUAUGACAUAAUUUGAGGAACCACAGAAAAGGAAAAUACGAUGAAUCAGCAUGUUAACUAGCUACAUCACCAAGGACAGGAUUGACCAAUCAUCAUAUCUUGCAUGUGUACAUUAAAAUCAAAGGCUUCCAUGAAGGAAAAUGCUGGGUAAAAGGUACAGAAUCAGGAUAGAAGGGCACAAAACCUGCUGCCAAGUGGUAUCAACAGGAGGUUGUCUACGAGCAUCACCUGCAUCAAAAUCUAGAACCCCAUAGUCUCUCAAACGAAUCUGCCAUGGGAGAAAUAGAAAAAAAAACUAGUAAUUAUGGGUAAAUAGGCAUCCAGACUCCCCAACAUCAAAACCAUUAACAACUGAAUAUAGAAAUAUUAUGACAAACCCGAAGAAAGGCAUGGAUUCUUUGCAGAUUUCCAACAACCCCACCAAGAGCAGCCUACACUUGGAUCAAAAGGAUGAUCAGGGGAAAAAAAAAACCACAUCAGGUAACUAAGAGCUGCUCCACAGAAGCAAAAAUGCUAAGGUUCUUCAAUCAUUAUGAAAAAAAUAAUUCAAAUGAGCAAGGAAGUAUACUAAGAGUUAGCUGAACAAACAGAGAAGCGAUAAUUGAUCAAAACAUUAGUGCUCAUGGAAGUAUAUGACACCAUCAACCAGCACUAAGAUUAUGAUAAACAACUUUAUUACCUGUGCAGGAUGACUUUGUAUCGUAUCUAUCAUAUAUUUCUCAUGUCCCCAUUCGAGGUGGCGCCUAGCACCAAUUACUAAUGACAUUUUUUUUGAAACAUUCCAUUGAGCAGCUGUAUCCUCACCCAUUAAUGUCUGUCAAAUAAUUGAACCAUUAACCACUUGCCAGAAAAUAAUGAAAGAUAACCUGAGCUUAUAAUUGGAAAGCAUACCUGAAUCAGGUGCCAAAUCUUCUGCAUGUUAACAGAUUUGCCACCAGAUGUCUCAAGGCCCAAACUAUCAUAAGCACCCUUGAAAGCUGUAGCAGGCUAAUAAGAAGGAAUACAUUUUAAAAAAGAAGUCAAAAAGUAAAAUAGUAAACCAGAGAAAUAACUUAAUCCAAGUGCACAACCACCAAGAUGAGAUCAUUGCUUGAUAUAUCGUAACAUUCAUAUCCUAACCAGAGGCUUGAUUGUAUAAUUACUAUAGAGAGAAGAAAAGAACUUUAGAAUAACACGUAACGAAGCAUACCUUAAAUGGUAAGCCACGCUCUCUUGCACUGUUGAGAUUCUUCACAACCUCAGCAUAAACAGAAGUUUUUUUCUCGAGGACAGGCUUGUUAGCUAGAGGUACAAGCUCCAUACUAGACAGACCAGAUGAAACCUGAGGACUGGAAAUCAUGGAUGCAAUUUGACCUGGACGAGUAGCCCCAGUGCUUGAAUCACUAAUAUUAGUCUUGGGCAAUGUUGAUAUGCGGCUCAAGCUUUGAAGGAAAUCCCUUUUUUCCUUUUGCCAAUCCUCCUGUCAAAUAUUGAAUUCCACACUGAAGUCAGGGCUAAAAGCAACAAGGGCAAAAAAAAUAUUUCCUUGGACUUCAUUAAACUGUUUGUACUUCUUGUCAACACAACAGAAGAUUGUGUGCAUGAAAGAAAGAAAGAAGGAUUGAAAAACAUCACAUGAACCCAUAAUAGUGCACUGACCUCCAUAACUUUCAUCAUGUAAUCAUUAAAACUUUUAAGGUUAUCUUUCUGUGCUUCCUGGAUAGCGGAAACUAUUGCCAUCUCAUGAACCUGAGGUGCAAAUAUAGCAAAACAAUAUGAUCAAGCUGCAAAUGCCAAUCAUUCUUAAGGCAUGUGUUUGAAAAACCUAAACAUUGUAACUUGUAAGAUAGUUCAAAGACAGUAAUACCAUGCAACCAAAUAUGAAAAUUUUGUACAAAAUACAGCCAUGUCACUCAGACAGCAUAGUUAAACAGACACAUGAUAUAAGAGAUCAUCCAUGAAACUUUAAUUGCCAACAAAAAAAUUACUCAUAAUUGACAGGGGGAAGAAGACAGGAAACACUUUAGUGCUGUCAAGGUCUGAACUCAUGUGCUAAAAAGACAGGUGUGUAGACAUAACUCUUUCUUAGGGAGAGGAAAAAGAGAGAGAUAGAAAGAGAGAAAAGAAGAAACUCAUGCUAUGACUUUGUCAGUGGUGAAUCUGGUCAUGUCUCUCGCCCUUAAUUUUUUCUUCUACCCUUUCAAAAGGAAAGUUAGAAUCCAUAUUCCCCCAUUGUGUUUAUAUGCCUUAUUCAGGGAUUUUGAAGAGAUUCUCCAAGCCUAAAAAUAAUGCAUGUCCUAUCAAAAAAAAAAAUAAUGCAUGCAUGGACAGUGUUUUAAACUCUUAGCUACAAAUUGAGCUUCAGUCACUUUGGAAGCGUCAAUAAUUUUUUUUACAAAACUUUUGAAGAAAUUCUCCAAGCCUAAAAAUAAUGCAUACAUGGACAGGGUUUUAAACUCUUAACUACAAAUUGAACUUCAGCCACUUUGGAAGUGUCGAUAAUUUUUUUAACAUUUAUAUAAGUACUUCAUCUGAAAAGGUAGUAGCCAAGCCACAAAAUCAAGAUUUAGUUUUUCUCUUUUGUAUUAUUACUGCUCGUGAAUAGUAACAGAAAUGUCAGGCAGCAAGAUUGACUACUGACUAAUAUAUGGCCAUUGCUUGUGGCUCAUGACAAAUGUCAUUGGCUCAGGGGAAACAACCAAACUUCAACAUCUCUCCACCCUUCCAAACAAAGAAAAUAAAGACAGAAAAAGAGAUGUCAUAGAAAAUUAUAAUAAACUCUCAAAUUUUUCUUCACUUCAAAACUUGUGUGCUCUAAUAUUAAAAUGAAAAUGAUUUUUUAAUGAGCAUUAAGUUGUUAAGGAUGAUUCUACAAGUGUGGUUCUUUAUUCUAUAGAUUACACGCAUGAAUUUAACCACUGAAAUCACUCCUUUUCUUUGAUGUCAUAAACAAGAAAUAACAUGUUACUAUAAAACUGACAAAGGGUAUCAAUUAUGCCACACCAUUAGAUGCCAAUAAACACAUAUGCCGAUCGAAGCAAUCUAAAAUUAAUAAAAAUAGAAACUAAUGAUAAUAAGAAUCAAGACAUUGAUAUUUGUAAUUUGUAUUGCCACUAAACAAUUAAAGCAGUGAAUUCUACCUGCUGCAGGUAUUCCUCGACACUUGUUGCCUCAGCAGGGAAAACAUCCUCAAAUGUUGUCUUCAAGAAGGAGAAAAAAAUAAAUAAGCAAAAGUAUAUUUGAAAAGAAAUUGGAACAGAGACUAGAAAAAGGUAAAAAUAAAAAAGUAAUAAUAAUAAUAAUAAUCAAGAAAAAGAAAAAUUUAGAGAAAUUUGAUAGCGAAGAGCUACAUGGCUAGCCAAUAAAUUAAAUGAAAAUCAUAAUACAAAUUAGACAAUGAGAAAAAGGACCUAUGGAUAAAAAGAUCACAAGCAUUUAAAUUAAGUUUAUCUAAUAAAAUGUAUGGAUAUUUCCAAAUUAAAUCUUUACAAUAAAAUAUAUGGAGAUUUCCAACUGCAUUUUAUUAUCUUUACCAAUCAGUUUGCUCUUUGAUCGAAAUAUAAUGUCUAAGCAUGACAUAUAUUCCAUGCUUUUUUUCUGAUAGGUCAAAAAUAAAAAAAUGCAGGGACCAUCUGUCAUUCCUUAACAUGGUUAAGGACAUGGUGUUCUCAGCCUUUGAUUAUUAAAGGAAGGAGUAAUCAGGAAUCAAGCUAAUUAGUGGAAAGAGGAUAGCUUCAGUACUCUCUCUCUCUACCACUUCCAUCUUAAGUUCCUACCUCGAGGUAUAGAAGCCUUCUACUCAACUCCUUCCUAAUGAUUAGGAGAUAUUGGAGAGAAGAUAGAUAUCUCAUUUUUCUCUUUAUUUUUUUCUUUUCCUUUUCUUUUUCUUCUUUUAUUUUAUUUUAUUUUUUUUGGAAAUUUGUUAGAAAAGAAAGCAAAAAGGGAGUCAAGCACACAUGUGGUAUAAGGACAGUAAGCCUUAACAAAGUUACAGGAGGCAAAUCAAAGCCAUUGGGAUAGUCCCUAUCUCCAAUAGGGAACUCCACAAAUACAAUGACUACAUGAGAAAUUUUUCAGCUCCAAAGGAAAGAGUUCUCACAAGAAGAAAAUCCUUUUAUUCUGCACUUUUACACGCCAAUCUCCAACAAAACCCAUCUUGACCCAAACAAGGAAAUUAUGGAGAAAAGACUCUAGGCCCCAACUCCAAUAACACCCAUCCAUGAAAACAUUCAAGGAGAAUAUAGAAACUUCUGCUUUUUCCAACCAUCUUAUGCCCUGUUUCCAAAAAAAAAAACAGACUUUAUUCCAGAAACCAUCUUGCCCUACACCAUUUUGUCAGAGCCAGUUGAAUGGGAGAUCCUUGUCAAAAUUAAACAUUCAGUUCGUGAAAACCCCUCCCUCCUACCUAGAAGAGUAGAAUUUCUUUCAUUUCUCUACAUGGUAUAUAAUAUUCUAUCCUGCUUGUAAUUUUCUAUUUUUGAUGAUUCACAUAAAUUGAACUAAUCAAAUUCAAUAUUUUGGUUCUAUCUUGGAGCAUAUAUUUGUUAUAAACACCAAAUUCUAGUUGUGAGAACUAAUAAGGGCUAUGAAUUGACACACUUGAGCAUACACAAAAGGAAAGAGAAGAGCAAUAGCUUGAGGGUUUGUUUAGAAACUGUUCUUAAAAAUAUUGCCAAACAUACCCUGAAAUAUUUUUUUCCAUGUGGGCAAUAGUUAUUAGUCCAAAACAUAACAUCAGGUAGAAAAAAUAUGUAAAACUCCAUAGAGCAUGGAUAUACAUUUUAUAAGAACUUUUGCAUACAAAGCAACUCGUGAACCAUGUGAAACGAUUAAGAAUUCUGCAGUCAAUCAAGCAAGAUCGGGGAUCAAAAUCAAUGCACAAGGAGCAUUCACCUUCAACUCAAAAGACUUGAGAUCCCGAGCAAGCUGUUCUGCAUUUAGUCCCUCACGUGCCAAUAACCUGUAAGCGAAACAAACAAGAACAUUUAUGGGAGAAAAACAAAACUAGGAAAAAUGAAGAACGUGAACUAUUAAAAGUGAUGAUACACUUUCAGACUGAAUGCUUCAACUAUUCCAUUCAGGGUGAUAUGCAUCAUGCCACUAUAAUAGUUCUUCUAUUCCAAGCAAUCAUCCAUUAUUUACUCAUUAAUUAAAAUAUAUUGCCACAUCACACAGAGGGGGUGUUUCACAGUAGAUCAAUUGAAGGAAGUAUCAUUUUCCAAAUAUCAAAUGGAAUAGCUUCAGAAAAAACCUAAACUGCAGUAAUAAUAUUGCUCUGAUUUUGCCCUAGAAUGCUAGAGAGAGAGCUAAGGAGAGAGAGAGGGGAUGUACCUUGUGGCUGCAACGGAUUGUGAUGGAGCUUCAGCUCUUAGGGUUUUUGACUUUAGCUUCUUAGAUAACGCUUCUAAUUGGUCUAAGUUCCUCUGAAAUAGACGCAAAUAGUGAACUCAGUUUCAGGAGAUUUAGGUAUUCAGAUGCUUCGUACAGUGCCAGACAGGUUGAGGAAAAUAAAAGGGAGUAACAUUUUUAAUCUUAGGUGUGGACCAGCAUUUUUCACUUGCAUUCCCAUGUCUACAUUAGGAUUUCCAAUUAGUAGGGGAAACAAACCCACAUGAGACGAACCUAAUGCAACUAUUUCAAUUCGUUCCGACAGACUUUCAUUAUUUGGAAAUGAAAAAUGAAGAUAAAAUAACAAUUUUCCUCCAAACGUUUUUCCAUUGUUUUUGUCCUCGUGAAAAAUGAAAACCGGAUUCAACCAAGCCAAGUAGUUGUACUACUUCCAGCUUAAAUUUUUCCCAUUCCAAGAUUCCUAUUCUGUGAGAAACGUACGAUGAAAGUUCGAAUUCCUCUUCUCUCGCUACGUUUUCUCAUCAAUCAGACGAAUAUUGAGAUAAAUCCAAAAUAAAACAUACCAACUUCUGGUUAUCCCUUUGAAUAUAGUUUUGACUAAUUUAGUUUCCUGCAUUUUCAGGGCAUCCGAAACUAGAAUUAUAAAAAGAAGGCAACGAAAGAAGAACCUGGAGAGGAGGGAACUGAGCCGAAGGAGCGGCUUGUUCGAGAAGCUUCGUGGAGGAGUGGAGGAGAUCGGUCCAGGAACUCAUGUCGGAGUCGGUGGCCAUGGUUGCUGACUUCGGUGUGUGAGAGAGAGGGGGAAGGGUUUUAUUAAGCCCUAAUUUUGAAAGGAGAGAGAGAACGGUAAAGUGGUGUUCUUAACGCGGUAGUCCCGUGGGGAGGGGUGUACUGUAUUUAUAUGCUCCUUCUCCACUGUCGAAUCUUGGCCGUUGAUUUCAGUGGUAAAAGUUCUAUCGGGCGGUCCUUUUGAGUUUUCAGUGAUUCCGUUAAUGUAUGAUUUAAGUAUCCACCGUUGGAUUGCCCUUAUUGGUUGACCUGCGGUAAAAAUUUGUUUUCUAUUCCACGAAAUUAAUUUAGAAGGAAUCCAGGGAGGGGGAAUUACUCGGAGACCCUUCUUAUAAAUAAUUUUCUAUUCUUUAAUUUUUUUUAAAUAUGUUUAACUAAUUUUGGAUAAAAAUUAAUUUUAAAAAUAUAUAUUUAGGAAAUAUAUUAUUUUUAAAAACUUAAAAAAAUAAAUAAUAUUUUAAAAUAAUUGAAAUUUGUAUUUAAGAACGGUUUCAAAGGUUGUUUUUUAGUAACUAUUUUAAAAAAUGCUUUCAAAAAAAUCUUCAAAGUUUUGUUGAAUAACAUUUUUUUAAAAACAAAUCAUUUUAAAAAAUAAUUCUUAAUUAUUGUUAGAAAUAAAUUGUGAAAAUGCAACUGCCAAUUGUAUUAUAUUUAAAUUAUUUAAAAAAACACAAGUAUAGUAUAUGUUAUUAAAAAUUUAUUAUUUAGUAAAGCCUGAUUUAAAUAAAUAAAUAGAGAGAUAGAAUGCCCUCCAUAUUGCCAUAAAAUCAAUUUCGAUUGAUAUUUAUGUUCUAAUCAUUGAGCGAAAGGGCGAGCCAGUGUUGAGGAUGCGGAGGGUAAAUGGUAUUUUGCGGCAGAGCCAGAAAGCCCUGCAAGAUCUGGAUUUGCUCAAGGUACUCCAAUCUGAGAUCAGACACGAACAAUCCCAUGAUCGAUUUCAGGUACCCUUCAACACAAUCUCUAAUCCAGCCUCAUUAACUCGCUCCGUUGCGUUUCUAUAUUUCGUCACCAAAACGAGAAAGAAGGCCGGAAUAAUCGUCCUAUUUCCAUGAAUGCAGAAUUAUCAAGGCGGUAAUCCGGGAGAUUUCGUGGUGGACUGGGACUCACCAGCUUCUCAAGAUGUGGUUUUGCGGAGGAAGUGCGAGUCGGGUGAAGAGGUCGCUGUCUCAGCCCUUCUGAGUCCCAUAACCUUUAGAAACGAGGAGGGUUCAUUUCCAAGGGACCUUCUGAUGAAGGUGUGUGUAAAGAAACCUGGUUUGAGUCCUGUUUUGCAGUUUGAUUGUGGAGUUUUUAGCAAAGACCAUGAAAGGUUGGAGUUCAACAUCCACAGUGCAUAUUAUAUUCCCUCACCGGCUUGUCUGAAUCCCUCAGCCUACAGAGGGCCCUCAUUCAGGUGCAAUUCUCUGUCAAUUGGCUUGAUUAAUGAGCAUUGUUUGCGAGAUUUUUACGUAUUUAGAGAGAAAAAAAAAAAAACCCUUCAAGUAUAUUAUCGUCUUUACUUGGCAAAGAAUGUGAUUUUAUGCCUUAUUGUCUAUAUUUUGAUGAUUUUGAAAUUGAAUAUCUGGGUCUGCGAAUCUUAUCUACAUUUGUAUGCGCAAGCCAUCUUCUUUAGAUUCUUUCGUUUGUUCUUGGAGUUAUUGCUCAAUUCAAGAACAUGAUUUCAAAUCAUGCAGCAUAGGUGGGCAAACAUAAAACACAAAGCCCAUGUCCCAUGACUAAUCGUUACUAGAAGCAAAACAAAUUGUGUCAUGAUCCUGCUAUAUAUAAGUGAUGAUGAUUUUGAAAUCGAAUAUCUAGGUCUAUGAUUCUUAUCUACUUUGUAUGCAUAAGCUAUCUUCGUUAGAUUCUUUCUUUUGUUCAUGGAAUUAUUGCUCAAUUCAAGAACGUGGUUUCAAACCAUGCAGCAUAGGUGAGCAAACAUAAAACACAACCUAUGUCCCGUGAUUAAUCACUACUAGAAGCAAAACAAAUUGUGUCAUGUUCCUGAUAUACAUAUAUAAAGUGAUGGUAAAUCGUCACUUUUGGGGGGCGUUAGCACUCAUAGCCAAUGAGAUGUGUAGCAUUGGUUUUUUUUUUUUUUUUUAAUCAGCAACGAAGAAUAUAUAAAGACACCAAAUAAAAGGAGGGGGAGCACCUAGGUGCAUGGGAGGUAUACAAAGGGAGCCAACAAAACAGAAACACCACAAAAGAGCAAAGAAAACAUCCUCCCACUAACUAACACACAGUUGGCCAAUAAGAACUAACAAGGAACCAGGACCCUUUUGAAUAUAUAGGUGAGUCUAGUGGAAAAGGGUACAAAUAAGAGAGUUCUUUAAAGCUUGAUCCCAGCGUUAAAUUCUAUCAAAGUAUUUUUAAUUCCUCUCUUGCCAAGAAUCCAAAACAAGCAAAGGGGGUUGUCCUUCAAAUAUUUUUUCUAUUUUUGCUAACAAAACUCCCAUUCCACCCUUCAGCUAAUCUUUCACCAAGAAUGGGAAGACCCAAGAACAACCAAAGAGAGAAGAUAACAAAUGCCAAAGACCCCUUACCUUUGCACAAUGGAUUAGCAAGUGAUUAGCCGAUUUUUCUAAAUUCAUGCAUAAACAACAAUUGUUUGCUAACACCCAUCCUCUUCUCUUAAGAUGACCUAAGGUCAAGAACUUUCUCAAACCGCCUCUGAAGCAAAAAGCCCACCUUUAAAGGCUCUCAAGAGCCCCACACUAGCUUAAAGGGGAAAGAAAUACCUUUAGCCGACUCUAAGAAAGAGUAGAAAGAUUUCACUGAGAACUUCCCACACAUGCUAAUCUUCCAAAUCAGUUUGUCGUCAUUCUCACUACACUUCCCAAGCACAUGUAGCAUCCUAAGUAACUCCUCAAUGGUAUGUAGCUCUCAAUCUUGAAACUGCCUUAUGAAUCCUGGGUUCCACACAACCUGUUUGCUAACGACCUCCCUAGCACUCACCACCCAAGCCUCUUUAUUAGAAGAAAAAGAGAAGAGAGACAAAAAAGAAUCCUUUAAAGGAGCCUCCCCACACCAAACAUCAAGCCGAAAUUUUGUUUUUCCAUUGCUAACCAUAAAACUUGUUUUGGCCUUAAAGGCUUCCCAACCUCCUCUUAUUGCCUUCCACAAGCCAACACUAUAACUCUCUCUCCUAGCAAGAGAGAACCAACCUCCAAGUUCCUCCCCAAACUUUCCCACUACAAAUCGUCUCCAAGGGGACUCCCUUUCCAAAGCAAAUCUCCAACACCAUUUUCUAAGCAAGACUAUAUUAAGAGAGGACAAGACCCUAAUACCAAACCUUCCUAGCUUCUUGUAUUUUCAAACAAAAGACCAUUUGACUAAGUGAGGUCUUCUCUCAAGAAGUCCCUUUGAAUUUUUUCUAACGUUAAAGUCACCAUUGUAGGAAUUAUUGGAAGAGACAUAAAAUAGAUGGACAUAUUGCAUAGAGUACUUCUAAGCAAAGUAACUUUACUACCCUUUGAAAAGCACUGUCUUUUCCAAAGGGCUAACCUUUUAUGAAACCUCUCCUCAACCACAUCCUACAUAGAAGGGGACUUAAACGGAGCACCCAAAGGCAAGCCUAAAUAAGUAGAAGGGAGCUUCCCCACUUUGCAACCCAAUAAAGAGGCAAACUCCUCAACAUUAAGGACUUCCCCCACCAAAAUCAACUUGCUUUUAUAUAAAUUAAUUUUCAGCCCUGAAAAAGUUUCAAACCAAAACAGAACCCAACUCAAGUAAAUCAAUUGGUCCGAACAAGGCUCACAAAAGAGUUGGGUAUCAUCCGCGAAUAGGAGGUGAGAAAUCUCCACUUCUUUUUUCCUUUUACCUCCUACCUUGAAACCUAAAAUGAAAUGCCCCUCACCUACCUUUCUUAAUAGAAUACUAAGAGCCUCCAUCACUAACACAAAUAGAUAUGGGGAUGGAGGAUCCCCUUGCCUUAGACCCCUUGAGCUCUGAAAGAAACCAAUUGACGAACCAUUAACUAAGAUCGAAAACCUAGUUGUUGAUAUACAAAAUUGAAUCCAAUCAACCCAUCUUCGAUCAAAACCCAUGCCAAUUUUCUGCAACACUUCCAAAAGGGCAGGUCCAAUUAACAUGGUCAUAGGUUUUCUCAAUGUCCAACUUACAAAUCACUCCUCUUUGACUCCUUAAUCUUGAAUCUAUAACCUUGUUUGCAAUUAGGGUUGCAUCUAGGAUUUACCUACUUUGCACAGAAGCAUUUUGAGAAUUGAACACCACUCUUGCUAUAACUUUCUUUAGCCUGUUUGCCAAAACUUUAGCUAGAAGUUUAUACAAACUUUGCAUUAAAUUAAUUGGUCUAAAGUCUUUAAGUCAUCGACUCUCCUCUUUUUUCAGAAUUAAGUCUAAGAACAUGGCAUUUAGGCUCCUUUCAAAAGAUCCUCAGGUGUGGAAUUCCCUAAACAGACCCAACACUUCAUUCUUAAGAAAGUCCUAACAGGUGCUGCCAUAAAGCUAAAGGAAAACCAUCUUGACCGGGGCCUUUGUCUCCUCCAAUUCUAGCAACGCUGCAUAAACCUCCUCAGUGAAAAGCCUCUUCCAACCCUCCAGAAGCCUCAAUGCUUAGCCUUGAAAAAGGCAACCCAUUAAUACUUGGUCUCCACAGGCCACCUGAAUCCGCCAACAGAAGCUGGCAAUUGUUAACAAUUUUUUCUGAAAUUUGAGGCUCCUCCGUAACCCACUCUCCAUUCACCUUAAUUCUUCCUAUGAGAUUUCUUUUGCAAUGAGCAUUAGCCAUCUUAUGAAAAAACUUUGUAUUUUUGUCACAUUCUUUCAACUGCAAUUCCCUAGAUUUUUGCCUCUAGGAGGUUUCUUGUUUGUUUAAGUCACUAUGAGGUUCUAAGUGUAAGCAUUCAUUACCACAGCAAACAAGUUUACCUUGUAUUUGCAAAUAACACCUACUCACCUGUAGAGCUUUUUAUGUUUUAAAUUGUUGUACUAAAUUUACCUUCUAUAGCAAUUUAUGUUAGAUGGAACAUUGUAUCCUACAUAAUUAAUAUUUUGGCACUCAAACAAAAUAUCAGCAGAGGCUACAUUAGAUUUGGUGUCUAAAAUGUUGGAUAUCAUCUGGGAGCCUUCAUUU
Molecule: long non-coding RNA, 65220 nt
Filed under: Vitis vinifera (wine grape)
Lineage: Eukaryota; Viridiplantae; Streptophyta; Magnoliopsida; Vitales; Vitaceae
Description: long non-coding RNA (VVIN_LNC002700)
Source: RNAcentral